AGGGACUUAGCCAUGGCUUGCAUGUUACGAUUCAUCAGAUCACGGCAGCACUUGACAUCCAUGGAUCUAAAGUAUUAAUAAUUCAAAAUCUUCCCGUUUACCUUCAUAUGUUCUUGGUCAGAUGAGAUAACGAAAUGGUCAGCACCAAGCAAGCUCAGUGCUUCCUCCUUUUUAGAAAUGCUUGUACUGAACACGGCAACUUUCAGUCCAAAAGCCUUCCCAAGCUUAAUUGCCAUCUGACCGAGCCCACCAAGUCCAAUUACGUCGAAAGACUUACCCGGUUGGUUCAUCUUGUGACGCACCAUUUGAAUGUAUACUGUGAUUCCAUCACAGGGCAAUGGUGCUGCUAAAGCCAACGGGUAGUUUUCUGGAAUCCUAAGGCAAUACCUGUCAAUGAAGCACCACAAUUAAGUUUCCAAAUCAUGUAAUUUUUCUAUUCCCCUCGAUCAUGUCUCUAAGGGACACGAUAUUCCUGUGACUGUUGGAUACAAGAAUCCGUGAAAGCAUAUACAUUUCAUUACCCAUUUGAUCUAACACUUACUAUCUAACUCUUGGGAACAAUCUAAAAAAAGGGAGGAAGCGGAGACAAAAGGCAAGGAUUGAGCAAUUUCCAUCUCUCUCUCUCUCUCUCUCUCUCUCUCUUUUAAUUAAGGGUUAAUAUCCUAAAAAAUCCCAAAUUGGUACACAUGUAACAAAUUUACCUUGACAGACUAUAAAAAACUCUAAACUUAUAUAUUUAUGACAAAUUUACCCCAAACUAAUUUAUUUGACCGCAAAAAAUCUCAAAAUGGUAAAUUUGUAACAAAUAUACCCUUCACUAAAUUGGAUUAAUACCACAAAAAGAUCACAAAAAUUGUAAACCGUGACAAACGGAGCAUGAAAUCUCAAAUUGGUAUUACUAAUCAACUGUCACGUGCCAUUUAACUUAAUAAUUUGACAGUAAAAUUUAAUGAAAACUAAUAGAGGGUAAAUUUGUCACAAGUGUACUAGUUUAGAGUAUAUUUGUCAAAAGUAUACCAGUUUGGAGUUUUUAGUGGUCAAAAAACUAGUUUAGAGUAAAUUUAUCAUAGGUGUACCAGUUUUGAGUUUUUUAGGGUAUUAACCCUUUAAUUAAUUUAGUUUUAAAUUUAAUGUUAUUAAUGUUUCAUGAAAAUUCAUAUGUUAGAUUUAUUGGCUCACAUGUCAUUGUCACUUGAUGUGUAUGAUAUAUAGAAUAGUCCAAGAGUUUUGACUUUAGAUGCUUGGGAACUCGCGAAUGGUCAUACAUUGUCGGUUACACAUUCAAUAUGAUGUAUUAGCUAAUCAUAGUCCUCUAACGGUUUAUAUUUGCUUAAUAUAUUUCAAGAAUAUUCAUUUGUUAGACUUGUCCGCUCACACGCCACUGUCACUCGAUGUAUAUGAUAUGCAGAAUAGUCUAAGAGCUUUGACUUUAGACACUUGGGAGUGUCUAUGCUUGUUUUAUGUCUGUUAUGCUUGCAAUGCUUCUGGUUUUGAGUGGACAGUACAAAUAUUUAAGUCCAUGUCAAUUUGAACAAUUUUCUUUAUUAUAGAGCAACCGUCUUUAAUCUAUUGUGUUCUUGACCACAAAAAACCAAAUAACAAAUAAGUAUUAAUUAUUGUAGGGUCCAACAACAAUCUUUAAUCUAUUGUGUUCUUGACCACAAAAAACCAAUUAACAAAUAAGUAUAAAUUAUUGUAGGGUCCAACAGCAAUCUUUAAUCUAUUGUAUUCUUGACAACAAAAAACUAAAUAAUAAAUAAGUAUACAUUAUUAUAUGGCCCACUCCUUUAAAAAUUUGUUGCUCACAACAACUUAUUUAUUCUCAUAAUAACCCAAAGUUAUGCUAGCAAAGCUCUUUUGAGUAAGUGUAUUGAAAGUUUUAAAAACUUGUCACUAAAGUGCAUUAAGUCCUGAAACUUUCAAAAAAUACAAUUUAAUCCUAAAAUUUGUCACGAAAUGCAAUUGAGUCUUAAAAUUUUCAAAAAGUAAAAUCAAUUAUAAAGAUUUAUCAAUAUUAUAAGGGACAAAACCAAAAGCUGCAUGCAAUAAAUCAGACAAAAUUCAUUAAUUUAUGACCAUCAAGCAAGCGUCAGACAUUAGCAAAUGAAUGUAUUAGCAAUCGAAAAUACAUCGAAAACAAAAAGUUAAAAGCUCAUAUCUACCUUUCAUUCUUAUGCUUUGUAAGCCCCUCUGACCUUAGUGACCGCAAGGAUUUUACUGUGGACUCAAUGAGAUCCAUCUCAAGCUCCACCCUUUCAUGUGUCCAGCACUGAAGCAAAAGGAAAAUCGCAAUAAUGCGAUGAGGAUGAAACUAACCCAUUGAAUUUCUGAGUAAUCCAUCAAGUACAAGUUACCCAUCAUUCGGCCACUAAGCUCCUCCACUAUGGCCCUCAAUUGCUGGAUGCUUACUACGAGCGCUUCAUCCCUUCGUAUGAAGUCAACAUUUCUUUGAUUCACACUUUCUUUGCAUGACAUAUUUUAAACCUACAAGUAAACGUUAGUCACAAAAAUCCUCACCAAUUGCUCCCUCACGUGUUUCUCUCAAUGUGUUUGUCACUCCCCUCGUGUUUAACUCAAAUUUAGGCUUUUUCCCUCUCGUAUUCUCUUUUCACAAGUUCUUUAUUGGACUCAAAAUCAGUCUCUCAGCCCCCUCACGACAAUCAAUCAAAAUAAUCAAACAAGAUUAGAUUACUAUUAAUUUUGUUUCAGCAAGUAACAAUUUCAAACCAACAAGUAUAACUUUCGAAAUUCUAAUUGAAACGCAAAUCACUACUGAUUUUGUUUCAAUUCGGUCCACAGUCGCCUUCUUGAUUUUUUUUUGUUCAGCUUUUUUUUUCUGCUGAAUCUUUUUUUUUUCUCUAGCGCACUUUUUUUUUGUGUGCGUUUUCUUUCUCUUCUUUUUUUUUUUUUACGAACUUUCUUUGUUUUUUUUUCUUUCUUUUUUGACAAACUCAGAUACAAUUUAAGAUGAUAGGAAAAAAAAUAUUAAAACUAACAGCAAACAAUUACGUAUGGAAGCACAAAAGUAAUCAGAUCCCUAAAUUGGCUAGAACCGAAACCCUAACUCAAUAAAUCUCAAAUUGCUGAAUAUAAACAGAAAAUUAAAGAUAAAUAGACAUUGUAGAAGUAAGCUCUGAUACCAAAUGAUGUCAAUCGUUGUGGAAAAAUCAUUCUACGAAGGCCUGGAUGGUGCGAAUUGCAAACCUCGACCUCCAAUCAAACCUGUGAUUGAUAACCUCGAUAUGAACGUGAUCAAACCUACGAUUGAGAACCUCGGUAUGAACGUGACCUAUUGACAAACGCAUGUCAACCAACCAAACCCACGAGCGAAAGAAUAAGGUUAAGUUCUCAAAAAAUAGUAGAAAAGAAUCUCUCAACUUUUUUCAUCCAUAUAUAUAUAUAUAUAUAUAUAUAUAUAUAUAUAUUGACUUGGUCAAAUAUUUGAUGAUCAGAUAAUCAAAUUGUGCAAAGAUUUCUAAGAUUCUUCAAGAUUUAAUCCAAAGCCAUCUCUACGCCGAAGAUCAUGAACCAUGACGCUAACAGCUUACUUGAAUUGCUUGGCUCGUGCUCGAGUAAUUGAACCAGUAGGAAUAGACAAUGGGUCUCUAGCACCACCUCAUCGAUAUGGCUUGAUGUCCACAUCAUAAUGCAUGCGAAGGAACAAGCCGAUUGCCACUUGAUGUUAGUCAUUCAUGCAAAACUGUAAGAUUCAUACGCUAUAAUAUAGCCAAACAAGCAACCAAAAAAAAAAAAUAAAAAAUAAAAAACUAAAAAAAUGAUCUGCGUUGCACUUGAGGUGGCAAGGGCAAUUAGAUUGUAUUGAAACUAAAUGAAGUCCGUUGCAUUAAAAAGACAAUCAAAUGAUGCAUUGAUCAAACCUUCUCUUCCUUCUUCUUUUUCCUCUCCAGGUCUUCCACGCCUUCCGACUUGUUAUCCGGUUGAGACUGCACGACCCACAUCGACUCAUCAAUCUGAUCAUUACAAUCAUAGACUUGCCAUUUCCACAGCUAACCCAAUAACUCAAGCUACAAUCAGACGAGCUUCCACCCAAGAAAACAUACCAUUUCGAUGGUUGGUAAGCGUGAGACUGCAACCAAAGUUCGAUUCCGACAAGAGAAAGCACCGGGACAGAUGGUUGAGCUCCGUUUAGAAGUAGACCCAACAGCCGCCGGCGAACAAGGGUGGCGACCGUGACUUCAAAGAGACGACUUGACGGCGACCGAGCUCGGCGGAGGCGAGGGCGGCGGGACUUGUCAGCAGGGAUUUUUCUGACAGUGUCAGACUGGCACGACUCUGACGUUUUUUUAAUUAACUAAAGAAAGAAAUUCGUAAUACGACGUGGGCAGCCCGCAGGAGGGCGAAAUAAGAGUUUCCUGUUCUUAUUUUAUUUUAUUUUUAGCCUUUUCUGCUUAUUAGCAAAUAAAAUUUAUUAAUUUGACACGAACAUAUAGUGGUGUAUUUCCUACUAGUAAUAUAAAUUUAUAGAUUUUAAGGGAAGACUUGGAUCGUAAUUGUCAUUGGAGAGGAAGUGAAUGAUGAUAUAACAUGAGUUAAUAGACGUAAGUGAAAAAUGUCACAAAAGAAAUCGUGUUCCGAUAUUAAUUUUGUCAAUAUAUUGAAAAGGCAACAGGUUUCGUAUUCUUCUGGACAGAAAUGAAAGGUCAAAGGGAAACGAGAAGGACUGAGCAAAUAAAUGACAAAAUAUGAGCAAUGGAAGUCAUUGAUCGUUUGCCGUUUGACUGAUUGGAUUCUAAAUAUUUUAUUUUCAAUUGGGGUCUAAAUAUUUAUUUGGUCCAAUUGACUUCUAAACAUUUCCAAUUUUAGUCAAUCACGUCCCUCGAAUAUUAUUGUCGGAAAGAGCCACAUGGCUGUGAUUUUCCAAGUGGCCAAGGAGAUGCUUGAGGAGAAAACCUGUAGGAGAGGCGAAGCCAUUCAAGCAGAACUCUCAAGAAGCCAAUUUUUCAGACAGUUUCUCAAUCAUCACAUAGAAAAGUACCAGGAUUUCAUUACCCAUUUCACUUAUUUCUGCUAUAAAACUUACGGGUAUCGAAGUAUAUCAGGCAUAGUUUAUUUGUACUCCAGCAGAGAUAGUAAAAAGGCACAGAUGAUGCUCUCCUCUAGCUGAAACUCCCACUUUUCCUCUCUGUGUGAUCAGCUUUGCCAGCAACAAUUUCCAACUUCCCAAAUUGAUGUUCAAAUUUAAUCAAAUAGACUCAGAGAAGAAAACACACGAGAAUUGUUGCUAUAACUCUUGUUACUUUAUUCAUCAAAACAUCCAAAUCACUUAGCAAGAAAAUAGCUAUAGAACAACAACAACAACAAAGACCCACUGACAUACCCCACCGACCAAACAUGUGGAGAAACUAACUCCUACAAAAAAGCCACUUCCUAUUGACUAGGACUCCACUAUUACAUUAUUGAAGACACGUAAAAACUGUAAGUUAACUACUUCAACAAUUGAUGGUGUCACUUCAAGGAGUUCUCAAUGUCGAUCACGAAUCGAUACUUAACAUCUCUCUUGAUGAGCCUCUCCAGAGCUUCAUUGGCAUAAUCAAUCGGUAUCACUUCAAUAUUUGGGUAUAUCUUCUGCGCUGCACAUAGGUCUAUCAUUUCUUGGGUAUCCUUUGUUCCUCCCGUUAGGCUACCUGAAACAGUUCUCAUAUCUGCCAAACGUUCACCACGAGCAACUUAGUUCACCUAUCAGGUAUGAAAUUUCAUUUAGUAAUCAGAUUUGAGAACAAAAACAUACGGUGGUUAAGGCUGGCUGGACUAAAUUUAACUUCGCUCGAGCCGACCAAUGCUAGAAUGCCACCCGUCUUCAAAACAGACAUGUAAGGAUCAAAUGGGUGAUUGCCGGCUGCCGUGUCGAUUAUAAAGUCUAGGGACUUAGCAAUGGCCUGCGUGCAUUGGAUUUAUCAGAUCACAACAGAAUUUGACCACCAUGGAUCUCAAUGUGGAUAAUUCUAGUUUUUCCUUUUUUUACCUUCAUCUGCUCUACGUCAGAUGAGAUAACGAAAUGGUCAGCCCCAAGCAGGCUCAGUGCUUCCUCCUUUUUAGAAAUGCUUGUACUGAACACUGUGACUUUUAGUCCAAAAGCCUUCCCAAACUUAACUGCCAUAUGACCGAGCCCGCCAAGUCCAAUUACACCUAGAGACUUACCGGGUUGGUUCAUCUUGUGACGUAUCAUUGGAGUGUACACCGUGAUUCCAGCACAGAGCAGUGGCGCUGCUAGAUCCAUCGGGUAGUUUUCUGGAAUCCUGAAGCAAUACCUGUCAAUGAAGCACCACAAUUAAGUUUCCAAAUAACACCAAGAGAGGAAGUGAUUUCCCAAUAGAAUCAGCAUCCUGUCUUUUUUGUCUAAAAGGAAUCAAAUCACAGAGCCAGAAAUCCUAUCUUCCGCAUGCUUGGGAAUGUUACUUGCUUAGACCACAAUUCAGCAUCAUGUUGUUUCCGUGAUCCUUGUUCUGACCACAAAUUGCUCAAGACAAACAUUUCUUGCUGUAGCAACGAAAAUAACUCGAUUAAAAUUAAGAAAAGACACUUGCUCUAAGAAAGGAAACUGGUGGCAUAUCACAUAUGCUUGACUGAACACGUAAUUUCUCUAUUUCUUUCAAUCAAUUCCUCCGAAGGACUCAAGAUUCCUGUGGCUCUAUCAGAUACAAGAAUUAGUGAAAGCACAUACAUUUAGCUACCCAUUUGAUCUUAUACUUAUGAUCUAACUUUAACAAUCUAAGGACAGCUUAUUCCAUUCUUGACAAUGGUUAUUGAAAAGAAAGAAUUUCUUUUUGCAUUUAAUAAAGCCAAUUCUCCAUUGAAUGGUCUGAAUGGUAAUUGGAUACAGAGGACUUAAAGACCCUCCAGAGCCGUUAUAGAAAGUAUCUUUAUCCUUUUCCACAAGAUGCAUUAUGCUACUUCUGGUCACAAUCAGAAUACGAAGAAAAUUAGCAGAGAAGAAGACAUGACAUGAAAUCUUUUUUUGGCCACCAUGAUUUGAAAUUCUUUCACAGUGCAAAAUGCUGCCUAAUAACAUUGUGUUAAUAAGCAAUUACCUUUCAUGGACGACAAUGUGACUAGAAUAUCCUCCCUUUGUCACUGUACCGUCCGUAUCGAUUCGGUCAAAAGUCAAAACCAUCUUUUCACAAUGGACUUCUAGCCCGUCAUUGCAAUACUCGCACUCUCUGCAUGAAUUGACAUAAGUUCCCACACCCACAUGAUCGCCAACUUUGAAGCGUUGGACACUGGAGCCAACCUGUUUCACAAUUCCAACUAUCUCGUGCCUGAAUCAAUCAAAAAAGUCAUUCGCAAAUUUUGUUCAGAGAAUUAUUAGGAUGGUGCUAAGAAAAAAGAUUAACAUUCGAAUCACGCUGCAUCCUACCCUGGCACCAGAGGAUACUUGGAGGUUCCCGACAUAUUCCUAGUCCAAGCCACAUCUGCAUAGCACACUCCGCAGUGCGUGAUCCUAAUCGAGACGUCAUCGCUUCCCACGGUCCUAAAGAGAGAAUUCCCAAACAGAUGAGCAUCUAAUCAAGCAACUAAUCAGACUCAGUUACCUUUUGUUCUCAUUUUUCAGAUCAAUAAACUAAGCGUGACUUACAAUAAUCAUACAUUCAACCCAAAAAAAAAUUUAAGAAAAGAGAAAUGAAAAGGAACCAAAUCCAUGACUAUAGGCAUUUGUCUGAAUAGUACAUACAACCUCAAAUGCUCACAAAGGCAGCACCCGAAUCCUAAUGUCUGCCAUGAAGUUCUAAGCAACUCAUUCUGGGACAUGACAUAUCAUGCGUACAAACAAUUCUCUACCCAGAAAUUAGUGCAUACACAACAAAAUUUAUAAAAGAAAAACGAAAUGGUUUGGUCAAUGUGGAAAUUUAAAUAUAUGACAAGCAUCAAAAACUGUUUUGCAUUACAGGUGAGAGGAUAAGACCUGAGAACACUGUAUUGAGACUUAUUCAGACAAAUACUUCAAUAGAAAUUGAAAGUAUAAGGAGCAGAUGAAUUAAAUAAAGAACAGUGGUAACAGUAAUACCUGCGGCUGAAUUUGUAGGGGGAGAGACGUCCAGAAGGAUCUCUGGCAGCCCAACCAAGACAAUCUUCCUUCGCACCCUCUGAACUCAUCGUUCCUCACCGACCUCAACUGAAAUCGACCCACAAAAAAAUUGCUGUGUUAAUCUCUCAAUAAGCUGAAUUAUGGAAGAAGAAGAAGAAUUAUUUUCGUGAAAGAGAAAUGAAGAGAAAAUCAAACCGGAAAACAGAAGUUCAAAUGGUCAAAAGGCCAAAUGUCACGAAGACUUGGCAAUUCCGUUUCCGUGCAGACAAGAUUUUGCGGUCUGACUUUUGAGCAAAGAGCGAGAUUAGCAGAGAGCGAGGUUGAGCGCUCAAAAACCGUCACCUCUUUAUAGAUGCCAUAGCGUCGCCUGUUCUUGAUUUUUUUUUUCGUUUUAUCUUGUGGAAAAGAAUUAGUGCCAAACGUAAGCCAUUACCCUUCACUAGCCAAUGAAGUAUGCAGUGACGUCUUCUGGAGUACGGUUCUUGGUAUUUUUAUUUAUCCUCCCAAUAACAAUUGCAUUAUUAAUUUAUUCACACAUUAAAUAUGUCAAUAGGCAACAUGUUGACGCAUAAAAUAUGUCAUGAUCCUCUAGUGGUAUGUAUUCGAUUCAUCUAUUUUAAGAAUAUUCACCUUCAUCUAUUUUAAGAAUAUUCACCUUCUUCAAAGAUAGUGUUAGUAUAUGCGGAAACAUGUGUUUGAUAUGUAUGCAAGCAAAAGAACUAAGGGACAAUGUGAGCAAGAAAUAGUGGGACAAAGUAAUAAUAGGAAUGUGUAAAAGAGAAUGAGGCUGAGGCGGUGAAGGAGAGAAACUUGAAUGGAAGUCAACAAUAGUGGCUGAAGAAGAAACUAGUAUGUGGACAGCAAGAGUACUUGGAGAAGAAGAAAAUGAGUUGUCAGCUGUACUAUGGCCUAUGGCGGUGAAAAAGUCAAAAAUGUCAUGCUUGAAGUCGGUUGUAAUUGCCUAUAAAUAGGCUUGUCGUUCAUUUAUUUGGUGUGUGUGAGGUGAACCCUUCACCUUGUGUGGGGGUGAACCCUCCACUGUGAGAGGUCUUAAACCUCCGCUAGGACCAUAUGGAGAGUGACUAUUCAACACCUCCAUCAAAUUAUUUUGUCUUCUUCAAUAAGUUCUUGACAGCUGGAGUUUGAUGAAGAAACUUUGCUUCAUGCUUUCCGCUACUUGCUAUUUCCGAUGCACGUAGACUUCUCUAGCCUAUUCUAGGAUUUCUUCUUCAACUUGGGGUUUGCUUGCUUGUAUUCCCAUGUGAAUCUUCUAGGUUCAGCUAGCAACCACCAUUCUCAACAAUUCUAGACAAUCUUCAACAUGGAUGUUGCUACCAACGUUCUCGCCUUCAUGAUUAAGUUAAUAGUUUCUAAACAGUUUUAGAGAAAAUGGAUCAUAAUUUUCAACAUAUAGUAUUUUGGAGAGAAAAGUAUUUCAGCAGAAUUGUUCAAGGAUUUACAGAUCACUACAAUAUCACCGGAAGCAAAUAAUUAUCCAUCAUUGACAUGAACGAUAUAGCAAAAAUUCUUUUACUUGUUUACCUUAAGUUUAGCAAGAUCUGCUUAAACGACAACCUUGAGUAUCUUCAAUUCCCUUUCUCUUGCCUUCAAAAAGAUAUUGAAAUGCAACGCAGAAUCAAGACAGAUUGUCAUUAACAAAGCUGUAAAAGCCUACUCAAUCUGGCAAAAUUGGGGACAGUGUUUUCCAGCGAUCUUGACUACCUCGGUAGCUGCUGUGCAAAUGGAUAGGAAUGCAUGCAGAGGGACAAGCUGAUUGUUACCUACUUUUAGUCAUUCAUUUGAAACUGUAAGAUUCAUGUGCCAUAAGAUAGCCAAACAAGCGGGCAAAAAAUGAUGUGCCUUGCACCGAAGGUGGCAAGAGCAAUUAGAUUAAAUUCAAACCAAAAAAAGCUUGAUGCAUAAAAUGAAAAGUCAUCCAUUGAGCAAAAAAGGGUGCGUUUGGUAAGGUUUCUGUUUAAAAAUUGUUUCUGGGAACAUAAAUAAAAAAAAGUGUUUCUGUUCCAAGGAACAAGUUUUGAACAAAAAAACGCAUUUGGUAAAUCUGUUCUAGAAAUAUAAAAAAAAUAGAAACACGUUUGGUAAGUUUGUAUAUUUUUUUUUAUUUCUUUUAAUUUUUAAUAUUUUUAUUUUUAUUUUCUAUUUUCUUUCUUAUUUUUCUUAUUUAUUUUUCCUUUUUUUCUUAUUUAUUUUUCCUUUUUCCUUUUUUCUUCUUUUGGCCGGUCGCCGGCCUCGGCCAUGGCCGACGACCAGCCGACAAGGGCCGGCGGCCUCACCCAGCCAUGGCGAGGCUCGCCGGCCGCUGGGCGAGCUCGGCCUCGCUAGAUCUGGGCGAGAUCGAGCUCGCCCAGCCAGGCGCGAGGUCGGCCUCGCCGCGCUGUGCCGACGGUGACCCAGAGCCACACCAUCGUCUCCCUCCACCGCAUCGGUGACCGCGCUCGACGCCUCCUCGCCGCCACCGGAUCGGCGACCACCCCUCCGCCUCACGCCCGAUUGACGCAUCUGCAGGUCUCGAGCCUUCGUUCACCACCGCCACAUCAGAUCUCACCACGCCGUGACCCACGGCUUCGAGAUCCGCUCGAUCGUCGACCCCGCGCCGGCCCACGACUCGACCGGCCGUCCUCGCCGCUCCGCUCCUAGACGUCCGCCGCUCGAGACCCCACGGCCGAGCCCCGCACCGCAGCCGCCGCCGCCGCCCAGCGACCCGCGACCCAGCUCCGUCACCCGCUCACAGGUGGAGAUGCUCGCAGCGGCUGUCGGCGCCGGAGAGGACGACGGUGGAGAAGCCGGAUGGUCUCGAGACAGAGGCGGCUGUCGGCGCCGGAGAAGACGACGGUGGAGACACUUGCAGAAGGAGAGGCUCGCAGGAGAACACGAUUUUGUUUCUUUUUUGUUCUUCAAAUAUGUUUCAGAAAUAAGAAAUAAGAAAUUCUUGUUUCUUAUUUUUGUUUGUUUCUUAUUUUUGUUCCCUUUUUGUUUCUAGGAACAAAAAAACAAAAAAGAAACAGAAAUGCACCCAAACGCGUUUCUGUUCCUUUUUUGUUCCCAGAAACAAAAAAAUAGAAAUUUUUGUUCGUGGGAACAGAAACACGGUGCAAACAAACGCGCCCUAAAUGACAAAGUAAGUGCAAUGAGAGUCAUUGAUGUUCACGCCAAACGUAUGCCAUGACCAUUCCUUAGCCGAGAGAAUGUAAGCAGCGACAUCUUCUAGAUAGUGGUUACUGGCAAUUUUUUUUUUUUUUAUCCCCGGCCUGAUCAAAUUAUCCGAGUUAUAAACUCAGAAAGAAGUUAAUGAGCAAUCUACCGCUAGGACCUAUGAAGGGUCAUAUGUUGUUGGUUACACAUCGUGUUGGAAUAUAAUAUACGGAAAUGAAAAGAUCUUGCAAUUUACGUCAACGUGCAAACUCCAGAAAAAUAAAUGAGAAAUAAUAAGAACACCAUAACUUUACGUGAUUCGGUCCGAGUAUUAGUACCUACAUUCACGGGAGAGUUAGCAACAAAUAACCCACUAUAAUAAAAAAAUCAGAGUUUACAAUCGCUCACAUGCUUGAGUAUUUUCUACACCUAGAUUUCAACUCAAGAGUUUAUAAAUAAACAACUCAUUUUAACAUAAAUUCACGACAUAAAAUUACCACUCGUUCAAAAACAAAAUGCUCUACGUACGCCAAAAACAAGAAUUCCAGCAUUUAUCUUUUGGUUCGCGUAGAUACGGAUUUGUGUUCUUCUUUGCUUGAUCGUGCGGCGCUAUUCUAGACGUUCCUUUUGGCUCUUUCUUCUUCGUAGGGCUUCAGUAACUUUUUCUAUAAAAAAAAAAAAGGACGUUCUAUUUUAUAUAUGUGCCUAGAGUCAACAACUUUGACUCUGGGCCCACCAUGUGCUUCUUUCUUCAGUGGGAAGUGGGACGCUGCAGGUAAGGCGAAGAAACCUUCCUUUUAUUCAUUUUUCUUCAUAUUUCCUUUAUUUUAUGGGAUAUGUUUGGCAGAAGUCCUAAAACUUGUCCAGAAAGUGCAAUUGAGUCCUAAAACUUACAAAAAGUUCAAUCAAGUCCUAAAACUUGUCAAAUUGGUUCAAUUGAGUCCUAAAGUUAACACCGUUAAGAAAAUUAACAGAAAUUGCUGACGUGGCGCUGACGUCAUAUUUUAAAUGAUCUUUUUUAUUUUUCAAAUAGCUUUUUUAAAUUAUUUUUAUUCAAAAUCUUUAAAAAUUAGAUUAAAAACUAAAAAGGAAAAUCUAAAUUUAUUAAAAAAACAAAAUUGUUCAAAAAAAAAAAAAGAAAAAAGGGCGGUGGACUUUCGCCGCUGCCCAUCGCCGAAGGGGCCGGCGAUCGUCGCCGGCCCUGGGCGGGGGCGAUGGUCGCCAUCCCUUGCCUGGGGCCGAGCAACCGUCGCCCGCCUUGGGCGAGGCCUCGUCGGCCCUCGCUUGGGGUCGGCGAGGCUCGCUAGAUCUGGGCGAGCCUCGCCCUCGCCAGCCACCCCUGCCCAGGGCCGACAACUGUCGCUCGGCCCCUUCGGCGAUGGGCGGCGGCGGCGGCGGCGGCGGCAGCGGCGGCGGGGAGAAGAGGGCUGCUUUUUUUUAAAACAAUUUUAAAAAUAACUUUUAUAACUUUUCUUUUUAAUUUUUAGAUAAAAUGAAUAAAUUUAAUUUUUUAGUUUUAAUUCUUUUUUUAAAAAUGAAUAAAAAUCAUUAAAAAAAUCCACGUGGAAAAUAAAAAAUAAUUAAAAAUGAUACGUCAGCAUUUUUAACAGAAAAAGCUAACGGUGUUAACUUUAGGACUUAAUUGAACUAACUUGACAAGUUUUAGGACUUGAUUGAACUUUUUGUAAUUUUAGGACUCAAUUGCACUUUUUGGACAAGUUUUAGGACUUCUGCUGAACAUAUCCCUUAUUUUAUAUAUGUUGUGUGCCUAAAGUCAAGACUUUUGACUUUGGGCCCACAUAAAUAACCUUGUUUGGCUCCCGUAGAUAAAGAAGAAACUUUGUUCUUUUUAUUAUUAUUAUAUUUUCUUUCCUCUUUCGUAAACCUUCACAAAGUCCAACAAAGCUUCUUCUAUUGAUCGAAACAAUCAAAGACCCAAAAAGAAUUUCGAAUUUAUUUUCUUGUGCAUAAUCUUGAAUAUUAUCUUUAUCAGAAAAAUAUCUUCACGAUCAAAUAAUAAAAUUUUUAUCCAAGCGGAUCGCAUUUUGCAAAUACUCAAACUCGAGACAUAAUUUAACACAUCCGACAUGAUAUACUGCCCAAUUACUAUCCUCUGACAAUUUAUAUUUGAUUAAUCUAAUUCAAGAAUAUUCAUUUGUUAGACUUGUUGGCUUACACGCCACUGUCACGUGAUAUAUCCUAUAUUGAGAAUACUCAAUGAGCUUUGACUCUAGAUACUUGGGAGCAUCUAUGCUUGUUUUAUGUAUGUUAUGCUUGUGAUGCAUCUUGUUUUGAGUGGACUGUAGAAAUAUUUAAGUUCGUGCCAAUUUGACUAAUUUUUUAUCUGGAUAAGUGCAUUGGAAGAUUUAAAACUUAUCAUAAAAAUACAAUUAAGCCAUGAAACUUUGAAAUCAAGUUCUAGAACUUGUCACAUUGGUCUAAUCUAAAUCCUACCAUUGCAUUUUUGAAAAUUUCGGUACUUAACUGCAAUUUUCUAACAAGUUUUAGUAUUUCCAAUAUACUUUUUUUUUUUCAACCUCAGUAAUGUUUUUAAGCAACAAUGAGCUUGACAUAUCUCUGUUUUCGGAAUUUCAGUGGCUAUAGGAAACAAAAGGACGUCCUCUAAUGAAUCAACAAUCUUCUGCCAUGACAAAGCUGGAAGAGAGAUGAGUGUCUUCCAUAGUUAUAAAAAAUGUUCAUGCAAUAAUCUGUAGGAAUUCGUCUUCCUGACGUGCAUGAACAUUUCCGGCCAUGAAACAUUUCACGGUGAAGACAUUCUGUCACUUAAACCGGCAAAAGGAUAUCGAGCUUGUUCUUUUGGCGAGUGUAUUGCCGUCAAAUAUGCCUGAUUAAUUCCACGACUAUUAGCAUUUGUUUAAAUAGAGCAUACAACCUAAAAUGCUCACAAAGGUAGCUGGUACUGGAUCCUCAUGUCUGCCCAUGAAAUUCUGAGUGCCUCAGACAUGGCAUAUCAGGCACACAAACAAUUCUCAACCCAGAAAUUAGUACGUACACAACAAAAGUUUAAAAAAAAAAAAAUUGGUUUGGUUAAUGUGGAAAUUUAACAUCAUGACAAGCAUAAAAAACUGUUCAGCAGUACAGUAGAGAGGUCAAGACCUGAGAACACUGUAUUGAGACUUAUUCAGAUGAACACUUCAGAUAGUCACUGAAAAGCUAAGGAGCAGAUGAAUUGAAUAAAGAACAAUGGCGAUGAUAAUACCUGCGGCUGAAUUUGUAGGGGGAGAGAAGUCCUAGAAACCGUCAUAGAUGCCAUAGCGAUGGAUGUUCACGAUUAAUCUUUGAGCUUACUAUUGUGGAAAAGUAUUAGUGAUUCGCCAAACGUAACCCAUGACCCUUCCUUAACCAAAGAACGCAUGCAAUGACAUCUUCUGGAGAGCGGCUCCUGGAAUUUUUCCAUCCACAACCUAAUUGCAUUAUCAACCUACUGACACAUAAAAGAUGUCAAUAGGCAAUGUGCUGUUGCACCACUGGACCCGCAAAUGGUCAUCAAUGUCGGUUAUACCGCCAAUAAUUUGUACCUGACCCUUCAUAGUCGUAUUAUUCGAUUAAUCUAUUUAAAGAACAUUCAUUUUCUUCAAACAUGCUUUCUCACGUGCCACUGUAAUAUGAUGUUUUUGAUACACAAAAUACUAUCUCUUCAAGAGCUUUGACUCCUAUAUACUUGGGACAUUAAAUUGUUUUAGCAACAAUGAGCUUGGGAUAUCUCUGUUUUCGGGAUUUCAGUUGCUAAGGGAAACAAAAAGGACGUCCUCUAAUGAAUCGACGGUAUUUUGCUAUAACAAACCUGGAAGAGAGAUGAGCGUCUUACAUAAUUACAAAAAAAUGAUCACGCAAUAGUUGGUAGAAAUUUACUCUGCUGACGUGCAUGAACAUUCUGAACAAAAAACGGAAAACAUGCAUGAACAUUUCCGGCCAGGAAGCAUUCACGAGGAGCUGAGAGACACUCUAUUUCUUAAAGCAGCAAAAUGAUUACGAGCUUGUUCUUUUGGUGAGUGGAAUGAAUAAAUUGUUCAAAAAAUCCUAAACUUAUUGUCCGACCACUAAUUUAAUUCUAAACGUUUUAAUUUGAUCAAUGUUGUCUAAAACUUUUGACAAUUUUUUGUAGUCCACCUAGUUAAAUUUAGGUCGAAAAUCAGUGAUGAAGCAAUUUAGUAAACACUAGCUGUUUUAAGUGAUACAACCGAUAGCUGAUAUAGAUGAUCUUAAAUGAUGUGGCGUCGUUUCACAAUUUUUUAAUAUUCUUUCUUUUUCUUUUUUAGUAAUUUUUUUUCCUAUUCUUUCGUUCUCUAGUGUUCAUUUUCUUCCCUCUGCCGGUGGCCGAUGCCUCAGCAAUGACCGGCGACCAUCAUAGGCUACAAGUGAGGGCAUUGAGCGAGACUUGCAAGCCUUCUCCUAGAUUUGGGCAAGGGCCCUAUAGGCCCUCAUUGGCCGUAGGCAAGGUUGGGGACUUGCAAGCCCUUGCCUAGAUCUACCCUCUAAUGGGGUCAAUGCCUGCCAUCACCAAAGCCUCAAUGUCUUGCUCUGGAAAGAAAAUGAACAGCAGAGAAGGAGACAAUAGGAAAAGAAAGAAAAAAGAAAAAGAGAGGAAAGGAAAAAGGGAAAAAAUCUGAAAAUAAUAACAAAAAAUUGCAAAAUGACGUUGUUUCAUUUAAGAUCAUCCAUGUCAAUUGCCAAUCAUGCAACGUGGCCUACCUUGUUGGAUGUAGUAGAUUUAGGAUAUUUUGAAUAUUUUUCUCCUAUUAAAUAUGCCCGGUUUAUUUGAUAUCCUAAAAUUUGUCAACUUUGUGAAAUCAAGUUCUAAAAUUUGUUGGCACUCUUUUCAUAUUGGAUGAAGUUAAUGAAAUGACUUGAUUACAACUACUUGGUAAGUUUUAUGACUUGAUUGUAAUUUUUGAAAAUUGUCGGACUCAAUUGCAUCUCUAUAAUAAGUUUUAAAACUUGAUUACGCUAUCUAAAAAUUUUAAGAUUUUCAAUAUACUUAUCCCUAAAAUAAAAUAAAAAGGGCCUACCCCCUUUACAUGAACUCUUUAAUUUAAACGCACCAUGGAAUUUCCUGUCCUUUUACACAAUUUCAUUAACUAAGAUUUUAUUUUAUUUUUUGGGUUAAAACCAAGAUUUAGUUCUUCUUCUUCUUUUUUUUCGGACCAGCCAAGAUUUAGUUCAAAGAUAGAUAUUUUGAGGAGAAAAAAAUUUCAGCAAACUAUGCAAGGAUUUGCAAAAGAUCGCAACAAUAUUACCGGAAGCAUAUAAUUAUUUAUCACUGACGAAUGAUAUAGUAAAAAUUCUUUUAGAAGUUUACCUUAAGUUUAGCAAGAUCUGCUUAUUCGGCAGCCUUGAGUUUCUUCGAUUCCUUCUCUCUUGCCUUCAAACAGAUAUAGAAAUGGCAACGCAGAAUAUCAAGAUAGAUUGCCAUUGACAAAGCUGUAAAAGCCUACUCAAUCGAGCAAAACUGGGACAGUUUUUCCAGCAAUCUUGACCACCUCCGUAGCAUGCCGUGGAAAUAGAUAGGAACACAUGUAGAGGGACAAGCUGAUUAUCACUUGCUUUUAGUCAAGCAUUCGAAACUUUGAGAUUCAUGCACUAUAAGAUAGCUAGACAAGCAAAAAAAAUGAUGGGCAUUUCAGUUGAGGUGUCAAGAGCAAUUAGAUUGAAUUCAAACCAAAUAAAGCUUGACGCAGAAAAGAGAAAUGUUGUGCAUUGAGCGAAUAUAUGACAAAAUAAGUGCAAAGAGAGUCAAUGAUGUUCUAGCGCUUUGGCCAAUUGAGUUCUUAAAAUUUUACUUUGCUUAAUUGAAUCCUCGGCCUUUUCAAUUUCAGUCAAUUGAGUCCCUCAACCUUGAUCCUCGGAAAUAGUCACAUGGCUAUGAUUUUCCAAGUUGAUAAGAAGAUGCUCGAGAAGAAAACCGGGUAGGAGGUGAAAUGGGACCUAAGUGCAAGUUUUACUAUUUCAGUAACUACAAUUGAUCUGACAGAAGGUUGAACUUUCAUGGAUCUGGCACUUCGUUUGAAGCUAUACAAACAGAAAUCAGCGGGCUCAAGAAGCCAAUCUUUUAGACAGUUUCUGAAUUAUCACACAGAAAAGCACUAGGAUAUCUUUACACAUUCACUUAUUAUAUCCUCUAUAAACUAACAGUUAUUAGAGUAUAUUAGGCAUCAUUUAUUUGUAGUACAUUAGGUACAGAUGUCCUCUCUCUGAAAUUCCCUCUUUUCCUCUUCUUACGAUUAGCUUUGCCAGAAGAUGUUUCCAACUUCCGACAUUGAUGAUGUCAUUUCAAGGAGUUCUCAAUGUUUAUCACAAAUCGGUACUUAACAUCUCUCUUGAUGAGCCCCUCAAGGGCUUCAUUGGCAUAAUCGAUCAGUAUCACUUCGAUUUCUUGGUGUAUGUGCUGUGGCGCACAGAGGUCUAUCAUUUCUUGGAUAUACUUCAUUCCUCCAGUAGCGCUACCCAAAACUGUUUUCAUACCUGCAAAAAGUUCAUUGUGAGCAACUUAGUUGGCUUGCCUAUCAGGUAUCAAUAUUUCAUUCGGUAAUGAGCUUUGAGAAUAAAAACAUACCAAGGUUAAGGGAGGAAGUACACUAAUGGUGCCAUAAGUUAUGUACGGCGCUCACUUUGGUGUCAAAAAUUUUUGUCGGAUCACUUAAGUGCCAAAAAUUUUGAAAAACGAUCACUUUGGUGCCAUCGUCGAUUUGGUUGGUCGGAAAUCUGACGUGACAAUUUUUUAUUAAUUUUUUAUGCCGACGUGGAUCGUCGGAUAAUACAAUCAACAAACAAAGAACAAAACGAUGCCGUUUACCAUUUUCCCCCAAAUAAAAACCCCUAAAUCCCUAAUUUCGACUAGAACUGGAAGUUGAAAACCCUAAAUCCCCAAUUCGACCAUUUCGAGUGCAUAUUUCGAUUUUCUGCCAAAGUUAUCAACUUGCUUUUGCAAAUGGAGGACAAAAGUUUCAACAGUGGCUCGCAUUCCUAUAAGAAAAGCGAAUUAGAUGGUGAGUGUUACUGUUAUUGUGGGUUACCGAGUCCGAGAAGAAUAUCUUGGACUUGGUUGAAUCCCGGGAGAAGAUUCCAUGGGUGCGGCAGAUAUAGAGAAAGCUCGAAGUGCCAUUAUUUCAAAUGGGUUGAUAGGAAAUUCUCUAAUCGAGCGACAUAUGUGAUAUUGGAGUUACUUGAAGGCCAAAAUCAACCUCCAUCUAUGUUAAUGGACGAGCUGGGGGAUGUCGACUCAAUACAAGCUCAAAUGAAGGGUUUAACAUCUCUGAUGGACCAUUUGAAGAGAGAGGUUUCAAGGCUGAAAAUUGAAAGAAACUUUAUCGAGCGUUGAUUGUAUUCUUAUUCUCUUGGGUAGUUUAUUCAAAUGUAAAGUGAGUAAUGAGAAGAAAUUUGUAUGUCUACCAUAGUCGAAGACGUGGAAUAUGCACUUGUAUUGGAUUAUUUAUAAGUAAAAUGUGUUUUUUGGUUUGUUGCAAUUUUUAUAUAGAGCAGAAUGUUUUAUUGUUGUAAUCUAUAGGUAGAAAUGUAAGGUUGGACUUGGAAUGCAUUAGUUGUGAGCACUUAAAAAGUUUUGUUGUUUAGUUGUGUAUUGUCAAUGUUUGUUUUUGUUAGUUUUUACUUCAAAUAUAAUGGUUUACUGCAUUUUUUAUUUGGUAAUAGUUUGCUGCAUUGAAAGCAAACGGUAAUGGUUUGCUGCAUUUUUUAUUUGGUAAUGAUUUGCUGCAUUGAAAGCUUUUGAUAAUGGUUUGCUGCAUUUUUUUUAUUUGGUAAUGGUUUGCUGCAUUUUUUAUUUGGUAAUGGUUUGCUAGUUUGCUGGUUUGCUUCAACUGUUAAACCAUGGCUGAAUGGCCGAAAUUAAAGAAUGGUGCCAAAUUCACGAUUGAUCAUUUCAGUGCCAUAAGUUGUAAAUAGUGAUCGCUUAAGUACCAAGUUUUUAUAGAAGUGAUCAUUUAAGUGCUAGUCGCAAUUACAAAGUGAUCACUUAUGUUGCACAAGUUUUUUAAAAAAUAACAUGUUAGUGCCAAACGUCACAUUCCAAAUGCACAGAGUUCUUGCACCAGUUGAGUUGCUGGUGCAUCUUCUUGCACCAACCCAUACAGAUGUCGAUGCAACAAGAUGUACCAGCACCCAAAGUGCUCUUGUAGCAGCACAUAUAAUCAGAACCCCACAAAUUCAUUAUAAUCCACAACUUUAACCAACAACAGCAACAUUGCAGCAACAACAACAUUGCAAUAACAACAAAAAUAAAAUAUAUAGCAUAACUAACUUGCUAGCAUUCUAGCUAAAACCAACACAAGAGAAAAUGAAAAGUCAUUCCAGUACUUGCCAUUAACAUUGCUUGAUUGUUUACAAAAUACAAAAUACAAAAAAAAAAAAAAAAAACAUGUCUAACUUCACUCCCUAAUCAUCAAAAGUUCAGCACUUUCCUAAAAAAAAACAAUGGCAAUAUGCAAGCAGCAACUACCAUUGAUGAUAUAAUAUCCAGCACACUCCUAAAAAAAGAAAACAUGGAAAGAGACCAUGUCUAGCAUCACAUAAAAAGAGACCAUGUCCAACACCCUCCCAUCAGUCAAUAUUGACAACACCCUGAUCUCUUUUUCUUAUUAGAGCUUUGAAUUGAUUCAUAAUCCGAGCACUCUUUCGAACUGGAUGUGCAGGUUCUUAACUGGGCUUUCUGUCACCUCAUUUUCCUUUUCCUUGUUUUUUACGGCAGCUAUUUUUGUUCUAGCACGUAUCAUGUGUUGGUCCAUAUCAUCACUACUGCUCCCAAUCGUUGGUUGAGAUGGAACUAGUGAUGGGUUCUUUUUGGAUGGCUGUUUCGCAGCUAUACCCACUGUCUUCUUCUUCUUCUUCUUUGGAGCACUCUUCUUUGGAUGCGCCCUUAAUUCUUGAGUUGGCCCACCUUGAGAGAGAAGUACCUCUGAAGUUCUCCCAGGCUACAAGAACAUAAUGAUAUUGUCAACCAAAUGAAUUGAAGUACAACAAAUUAAAUGCAUAAGGCCUAUAAAUUUUACAUUCAAAAUAGUCAUUCCAGUACGUUCAUCUGUGUAAAUCCCAUAACCAUAUUGCCUUAAUUUUUUUCCAAGAGCCCCUUUUGUUCGCUGUGAUGCAUCAUUUUCAGCAACAACAAUCUGAUAUUGCUAGUAUGAGUACCUAGAGGGGGGUGAAUAGGUAUAUAAAGAGUUUUUCUCAAGCAAUUGCACAAUACUAGACAGUUGGAUGAAACGAUAAUCAAAGUAAGACUGAGAGAAGAGAAAAUUUAAUACGCGGUUUAUAGUGGUUCGGCUUAUAUCAAGCCUACGUCCACUCUUCUUCACUGACAGCCUAUUGGCUGGAUUCCACUAUGAACAAGAGAGAGGUUACAGCACAGCUUUGCCUUGAUUCCACAGUGUAGAUGUUCUACUACACCUCCUCAAGAUUUCUCACAAAUAUAGACUCUCUCUUUCGUAUACAAGUAUUCGCUCAAAGGAUUUGUCUAAACAAAAAGAAGUUUCAGACUUUGGAAUUCUUCUAUCGCGCACACCUUGAACAACUAAGACAGUCUUCCUUAUAUACUCCUUUAUGCCAUCAUACCCGUUGGCACUUACCAAAGGAAUUCCUCCAAUCUACCCGUUGAACGGAAUCAAUUAGGAAGAUUGUCCAAGCUAUAAAUGGAACGUGUUGAUAGCCCAUCAAUCAUGUUCGCCCAUACAAUCAGGAUCUCGGUUUCCAUAAGCAGAACCUUCCAAUAAUAUUUAGGCAAUCACCGGAUCUUCAAUUAUCGAAUCAAUCUUCGAUCAAUCAAAGGACUCCGUUUAUGUCUUCUCCAGCCAUGAGAUCUUCUCCAGUUGAUAAGGUUAAAUCCUCAACGAAACAUCCAGUUCUGGAUAACCUUUCUUCAACAAAUUAGAGACUGUCAAUGAGGAUAGACUUUGAGUCUUGAGUCUAGCUGUCCUAAGGUCUUUAGACUUUAAAUAGCAGAGUCUGCAAGCCUUCAGACUAGACUGAUAUAAACGAUUUGUCAACUUCAAAACACUUCAAGAAGAUUUCUCCAACAAUCUCCCCCUUUUUGAUGGUGACAAAACUUUCCUGCAGAUUUGGAUAUCUUUGACCUGCAAAACAUUUCUCAAACACAUAUACAUAUCUUAUAGAGGUAAAUGUCUUAACAGAAUAACACUAGAAUCUGCAACCACAGAAAAUAGGUUAGUCCAGUAUAUGAUGAAGCCAUCCAUAAGAUAUCAAUAUUAGUUAAUAGAAGCAGUCAAGUCCAAGUCUAGUUUACUUCUCAUCCAAACACAAACCAAAGUCAAAUAGAUUCAAACCACAAAACAAUCCAACAAAAACAAUUAAAAGUUGAAUGAAAGGUUUUUAAUCAAAUCUUGCAUCUCUCCCCCUUUUUGUCAUCAUUAAAAAGGAUGAGAUGAAGUUAAGAAUGCUUGGGAACGCGGACAAGCUGGAAAUCUUCCAUAGACUGAACAAUGCCUUCCAACCUUUUAAAGUCUUCCUUUAGCUGUGCAAUCUCCUCACUCUUGGCAUUGGCCUGAUUCUGAACAGAGAGGGCUUGCAUUUUAUCAUUCAAUAAACAGGAAGAAGCUUGACCUUCAUUCUUCAAGCUUUGAACUUCGCAUCCCAAGGCAUAAAUCUGACCUCGCAUCUCCAAAAGAAUAUCCAUGAUUCUGCGAAAAUCUGCUCCAUUAUCAGUUUGAGUACUUGCUUCGGCUCGAUCUGAUGGAGUAAAUGCAGAUGAUGGUAGAUCAGCAUAAUCUUGCAGGUUUGGCGAUGAAACUUCAUGACCUUCUUCUGGAAAUUGAGAUGCAUAAACAUCCUCUGGAUCUGCUGGUGAGCGACUGAUUCCUUCACUUGCAUCAGGACAUGAAGACUUCACUCCUUUCUCCUGAUCUCCCCCUGUUUCCAUGCCUACAGGUGGAGAAGAGUGUUCUUCAGGUUCUCCUUCUUCUCUUCUUUCUUCUUCAGGUCUUUCCUCCUCUGUUUCUUUUUCAGCUUCUAUUUCUUCUUCUUCCUUCUCCUCUGCUUCUUUCGUCAUUUGCUCCGAUUCUUUCUGUGGAACAAGACGACUUAAAUUCUUCAAAGCCAAUGCAGAGAUGGUGAUGUCUUCCUCAUCAUCUUCAUCCUCAACAAGGAGAGCUCUUCUUCUCUUGGAUGGAGCAACCAUGGGCUCCUUCCCUUUUCUUUUAGCUGCAGAAGAUAUUUGAUGAGAUUUUGCAGGAGUCUUCUCCUUGAAUUUCUCCAACUCCUUGCUCAGUUCUUUCAGACGCAUUUUGGUCACCAUUUUCAGACCUACCACCAUAUGAUCGCAUGGUCGAACACAAAAGAUUUGUAGAGGCUGAAUAUUCAGAUGUCUGAAUAACUUCGUAACAAGGCUUGGGUAAGGGAGUUGACCUCCGUCCUUCAUCAUUGCUCUAUACAUGUGAAACAUCACAGUGUGAGGGAGAGAAAACCUUUUUCCAAAGAGAAUGGCAUACAUCAACUUGGCCUCUGAACUUGAAACAUCAGUCUUGGAAGUCGAUUUCGGUCGGAUGCAAUUAAUCACAAUCUUGUGAAGCAAGAUGUUGAAUGCACCCAUCCUUAAGUAGGUGAUCUUUUCAUCUGUUCUCCUGUCCUUCACCAGUUCAAGAGUGGCCCGAGCAAUGGAAACUUUGAUUGGCUGAUAUCUUCCUCUUUCGACUUCUAACACAUCUGCCAGCAUAUUCAUAUCCACAACAUAAUCUUGGUUUUUAACGCUGAACGAGAAUCUAUUCGCAUCCAAAAAGCUUAGAUUUGAAUAGAAAUAUGCAGUUAAUUCAGCAUAGGCCUCUGUAGAGUCAGAGCAGAACUUUUCAAGUUGAAGAUAACUGAACUUUUCCCUCAAGUUCAUAUUCACAGCAUCCAGAAAAUCGAAAUCUACACUCCUAGGGUUUAUCACCCCACGCUUCAGCAAUUUCGAGUACAGAUCCUUUUGCUCCUUUGAUCUGAACAAAUCUCCCCUUUUUCCUUGGUUAUCAACCGCAACACCCAUUUUCGGUUGGAAUUGACUGUACAAUUUAUCAUCAUCAUUCCCAUCUACAGGAUUCGGCCCCCAGUCACGAGGAUCACUUGGGAUAUUUGCAAGGGUUUCCUCAGCCACCCCUUUUCGAGCAAUUCCCAAACUUUCCAUUUUUUUCAGAAAGAUAUAUUCGUUCCCAUGUCCUUUGUCUUUAAGAAAAUCAUCAAUGUAGUUCAAAGGAGUACGAAUUCCUUUUAGGGCACGAUAUAACUGGUAAAUAUAAGUGGGCUUUUGAACUCUUACAGGGUCUGCAUCCUCGAUGAUUUCUUCCUGUUGUUGAUGAUCAACGCCUUGAGGACUAGAUGGAGGAGAAUGACACUGUUGAGAAUGUUGUGGGCUCGCUUGCUGAUCUGGAGUCACUUCAUCUUCAGUAAGAUCGAAGUGCGUAGGCCCCUCACUCAUCCGCCGUGGUCCCCUGCUUGCAAUUCUCGAAGACUUUCUUGAAGAUGACAUCUUAGUUUUUGGAAGAUUCCUUGCUUGACUUUCCCAGGAAAGAUGACAACUUUUUAAGGAUUAAACGAAGAAGACAAACGGGAAUGGAGGAUCGAUGCUUUCUAGGGUUUUUGAGAGAAAAGUGAAGAGGAAUCGAUAGUUCACGAUCGGUUAAGAAGAGGGAUAAACGAACCAUCAUAAAGGAAAUAAAAAUAUGCCUUUUCAAAAUAACUGUCUUUUUCCGCAAAAAUAGCCAUUUCAAAAAUAACUUCCCUUUUGAAAAUGAAACGAUGCAAUAUUUACUUCAAUUAAAUAUAGCAACAAUUUAAACACAGUCUGACAAUCGUACCUUUUCAAGAUGAGAUUCAAGAGAGAAAGACUUACAGUCUGACGGACGUACCAAGACUGUCUUUCAGAUAAAGUCUUGUAAGUCUGAGUCUGAAAGUCUUUAGACUUUGAUAUCCUCAUACCUCAAAAUGUUGAGUCUCGAGCGUAUAGACUCAAAUUGAUUUUUCUCCAAAGGCUUUGUGAAUAUAUCCGCCAGUUGAUUCUUUGAGUCAACAAAUUGAAUUGAAACAUCUCCAUUUUGAACAUGGUCUCUUAUAAAAUGAUGUCGAAUCUCUAUAUGCUUUGCUCUUGAGUGGAGAAUUGGAUUUUUGGUGAGGUUGAUAGCGCUGGUGUUGUCGCAAUUAAUUUCCGUGCAUGAGUCUUCAAUUUCAAAGUCUCUUAGCUGUUGUUUUAUCCAUAGAAUUUGCGAAUAGCAGCUUCCCAGAGCUACAUACUCUGCUUCUGUUGUUGAAAGAGACACAGUGCUUUGUUUCCUUGAAAACCAAGACACUGUCCUGCUUCCAAGCAACUGGCAAGUUCCCGAAGUGCUCUUUCUAUCAACUCUGCAAUCGGCCAGAUCUGCAUCUGAAUAUCCCAUAAGAUUAAAGUCUCCCUUCUUAGGAUACCAAAGACCGAUGCUUGAUGAUGAAGCAACGUAUUUAAUGAUGCGUUUCGCAGCACUGAGAUGGGAUUCUCUAGGAUCUGAUUGAAACCUAGCAUAGAUGCAAACACUCAACAAGAUGUCAGGUCUAGAAGCAGUAAGAUAAAGGAGUGAACCAAUGAUGCUUCUGUACAGCUUUUGAUCAACUUUCUUCCCUUCUUCAUCUUUGUCUAUCUUCAAAGAACUUGACAUCGGUAUGUCGGUCUUUUUGCACUUUUCUAAUCCAAAUCUUUUGACAAGAUCAUUAACAUAUUUUUCUUGAUAAAUAAAGGUUCAUUCCUUCAAUUGUUUUACUUGAAGACCAAGAAAGAAUGUUAACUCUCCCAUCAUACUCAUUUCAAAUUCAUCCUGCAUAGACUUAGAAAAUUUCUUGCACAUAUUUUCAUUAGAAGAUCCGAAUAUAAUGUCGUCCACAUAUAUUUGAACAAGUAAGAAACUUUUGUUCUCCUUUUUGAUAAAUAAAGUAGUAUCCACUUUACCUUUGACAAAACCAUUUUGUAUUAAAAACUUACUUAAUCUGUCGUACCAAGCUCGAGGUGCUUGCUUUAAACCAUACAGAGCCUUCUUCAGUCUGAAGACUGAGUCUGGCUUCUUUGGGUCUUCAAACCCUGGUGGUUGUUCCACAUAAACUUCCUCUUGGAUGACUCCAUUUAGGAAGGCGCUUUUGACGUCCAUUUGGAAUAACCUGAAAUUCUUAUAACAAGCAAACGCAAGUAAUAGUCGAAUAGCUUCUAACCUUGCUACUGGAGCAUAAGUCUCAUCAUAGUCUAUUCCUUCUUCUUUCAUAUAUCCCUUGGCCACGAGUCUUGCUUUGUUUCGUAUGACUUUUCCUUUCUCAUUCAUCUUGUUUCUGAACACCCAUUUAGCUCCAAUAACAGUUUUACCUUUUGGUUUGGAUGUCAAUUUCCAGACAUCAUUAAUGCUAAACUGUCUGAGCUCUUCUUGCAUAGCUUCAAUCCAGCUUUCAUUAGAUAAAGCUUCUUCUAUGCUUUUUGGUUCAAUUUUAGAAACGAGAGCCACAACACUAGACUUUUCUCGCCUUUUGGAUCUAGUGCGAAUUCCUUCAUUCAUUUCGCCGAUUAUAAGAUCUUUGGGAUGACUGGACUUAUGCUUCCAGUUACUCGUUGAUCUGUCUGGUUGAUGAUUUCUUUCUUUGUUUGGAUCUUCACGAACAUCUUGAAGCUGGUUUUCCAGAGUCUGAGAUGCUUCUUGAGAUGUAAGCUUUGGAAGAUCUGGAGCAGGUUCAGACUCUUCUUGAUGAGUCUGACUUGAUUCAUCUUGUGUUGAGUCUUGGAAUUUGACAUUCAUUGACUCCUCCAUAAACUGGCUCUUCUUGUUAUAGACUCUGAAGGCUUUGCUUGAUGUAGAAUAUCCAAGGAAGAUACCUUCAUCUGAUCUUUCUUCAAACUUACCAACUUGAUCUUUUGCAUUUUUCAAUAUAAAACAUUUGCAACCGUAUACAUGAAAGUAUGAAACAAUAGGCUUCUUAUCUUUGAACAAUUCGUAAGGGGUUUUCUCUAGAAUAGGUCUUAAGAAGAUUCUAUUGAUGAUAUAACAUGCUGUUGAAACAGCUUCAGCCCAAAAUCGUGAAGAAAUCUUGCUUUCAAAUAAAAGAGUUCUAGCCAUUUCCUGAAGAGAUCUGUUCUUUCUUUCCACAACUCCAUUUUGCUGAGGAGUAUAUGGAGAGGAGAACACAUGAUUAAAGCCAGAUUCAUCACAAAAUUUUGUAAAAUCUUGAUUUUCAAAUUCACUUCCAUGAUAUGUUCUUAUACUUGAGAUAACACAUCCUUUUUUCAUUUUGAACCUUUUUAGCAAACUUUUCAAAAUACGAGAAGGUUUCAGACUUACUUGCAAGGAAAUAUACCCAAGUAAAACGGGAGUAAUCGUCCACAAUUACUAGGCAAUAUUUCUUACCUCCAAUACUCUGUGUUCUGGUUGGUCCGAAGAGAUCCAUAUGCAGCAACUGUAGUACAUGAUUAGUAGAGACAUGAUUUAUUGGCUUGAAUGAAUUUCUUAUCUGCUUUCCCAGAAUACAUGGAGUGCAUGGAUCAGUCUUUUGAUAAGGUAAUUUGGGUAGUCCUUGAACAAGCUGCUUUGAUGAGAUUUUGGCUAAUUGCUUCAUGUUAACAUGACCAAGCUUUCUGUGCCAUAAGCUUGCUUCGUCUUGAAUUGAGAUAAAACAUUGCGAUUCAUUUGGUUUCACAUCCAGAAGAUAAAUGUUUCCAUGUCUACGACCCAUGAAAGACUGAGUAGAGUCUUUACUGAUUCCAGAACAUAUUCCUUCUUGAAAAAAGAUCUUGAAACCAGUAUCACACAAUUGACUAAUGCUGAGAAGAUUGUAAUUGAGUCCUUCCACUAAGGAAACAUUACUUAUUGUGAGAUUUCCAAUUUUCACAGUUCCAAAUCCCACAAUACUCCCUUUGUUGUUUCCUCCAAAUGAAACUUUUCCACCAUUUACUUGAGCAAUCUUUAUAAAACAAUUUGAGUCUCCUGUCAUGUGUCUUGAGCAUCCACUGUCAAGAUACCACUUUACCUUUUUCUUGACGGUGACCUGCAUUUAAAAAAGAGUCUCAAGCUUUCUUUGGUACCCAAACUUUCUUGGGUCCUUUUGUGUUAGUAACAUAAGCAGUAUUAGCCCAUAUUCUCUUAACAGGUUUCCAAACCAUAGGACACUCUUUUUCAAGGUGAUCCGGACUGUUGCAUUUUGAACAUUUUAGAGCAUUUCUUCCUACAGAUUUUACAAAAACUUUCUUGAAGUGAUUUUUGUAAACCUCUCUCGAGAGUCUUUUCUUAAUUCUUUCUUUUACUUUAGGAAAAUCAAUCAGGGGAAUUGUUUCUUCUGUCAUACCUAAACCGGACUUAUUGAAGUAAGGUCUUUGAGCUGAAAGAAUUUUCUCAAGUUUUUCGGACCCUAUUGAAAAUUUCUUUGAGAUAUUUGAUAAGUCUGUUUUUAAAAAAGCAUUUUCUUUUAAAAGAUCAUCUUCAUUUUCUUUAAGAGUGGAAACAGUCAAGUCAAGACUUUUAACUCUUUCUACUAAAACAUUUUCCUUUUGUUUUAGAGCUGAGUUUUCCUUUUUCAGUUCGGAAAUUCUUUUGAGAGAAGUCUUAAGACUAAAACAUAAUUCAUCAAUAUAUUUAGAAACUUUGACAGGAAUUUUAAUAUCACUUGCCUCAAAUUUACUGUCUGAGUUUGAUCCAGAGUCUGAGUCUGAUUGUGCCAUCAGACAUAGAUUGGCAUAUUCAUUAUCACUUUUUUCACACUCUGUGUCACUCCAUGUUUUGGCUUUGAGAGCUUUUCGAAAUCUUUCAGCUUUUCCUUUCUUCUUUUUCAGAAGAGGACAGUUGGGUCUGAUGUGUCCCUUUUUCUUACAUUCAAAGCAGACUAUGUCUUUGUUUGGUUCCUCAUCAUCAACAGACUUGGUCUGCUGUCUUUGAAAGCUUUGUUUCUUUGAAUUGAACCUUCUUCCUUUUCUAUUCAGUUUUCUGAAUCUUCUUAUCAUGAGAGCAAGCUCCUCAUCGUCCAUAUCUUCUUCAGAAUCUGUAUCAUCAGAAUCAUUAUUUGAUUUUAAUGCAAUGGAUUUCUUACCUUUUGGAUCUUCAUCUUCAUUGAUCCAUUCCACUUCAUAAGACUGAAGAGUUCCAAUUAGCUCGUCGACAGAUAGUGGCAUAAUUCUUUGCGUCUCUCUUAUCGAAGUCUUUAUGUGAUUCUAAUCCCUGGAGAGUCCACGCAGUAGCUUGUUUACCUUCAUGGGAUCAGAAGUUGGUUGACCUUGAUUUUCAAGACCAUUCACAAUAUCUGUAAAACGACUAAACAUGUCAGAUAUAGAUUCUCCUGGUUUCAUUCUGAAGGCUUCGUAUUGACCAAGAAGAAUGUUGAUUAUAGUUUCCUUCACUCGAUCUGUUCCUUCAUAAGUGAUAUGCAAUCUAUCCCAAACUUCUUUUGUUGUACCACAAGAAGAUAUUCUAUUAUAUUCAGUUGGUGAUAAAGCACAAUAUAAGGAGUAAAUUGCUUUUGCAUCGAGUGCUUGUCUUUUGUUUAUUUCUUCCUGAGACAUUCCGCUGGUUUCAUCAGUUUCUUUUCCUCUUUCAGAUACUGAUGCAGUGGUAGGAGUAAUUCCUUUUUCUACAACGUCCCAUUCCAGAGGAUCCUUUGAUCGAAGGAAAGCUUUCAUCUUGUUCUUCCAGAUGUUGUAAUCCUUUCCAUCAAAGUAGGGUGGUCUGGUAUUGCUUUGCCCUUCCAUCAACCCUGGUGCUAGCAUACUAGCCAUGGAUCUUUUACUACGAAGUAAAACACUUCAAAUAAAGUAAGUACACAGGCUCUGAUACCAAUUGAUAUUGCUAGUAUGAGUACCUAGAGGGGGGUGAAUAGGUAUAUAAAGAGUUUUUCUCAAGCAAUUGCACAAUACUAGACAGUUGGAUGAAACGAUAAUCAAAGUAAGACUGAGAGAAGAGAAAAUUUAACACGCGGUUUAUAGUGGUUCGGCUUAUAUCAAGCCUACGUCCACUCUUCUUCACUGACAGCCUAUUGGCUAGAUUCCACUAUGAACAAGAGAGAGGUUACAGCACAGCUUUGCCUUGAUUCCACAGUGUAGAUGUUCUACUACACCUCCUCAAGAUUUCUCACAAAUAUAGACUCUCUCUUUCGUAUACAAGUAUUCGCUCAAAGGAUUUGUCUAAACAAAAAGAAGCUUCAGACUUUGGAAUUAUUCUAUCGCGCACACCUUGAACAACUAAGACAGUCUUCCUUAUAUACUCCUUUAUGCCAUUAUACCCGUUGGCACUUACCAAAGGAAUUCCUCAAAUCUACCCGUUGGACGGAAUCAAUUAGGAAGAUUGUCCAAGCUAUAAAUGGAACGUGUUGAUAGCCCAUCAAUCAUGUUCGCCCAUACAAUCAGGAUCUCGGUUUCCAUAAGCAGAACCUUCCAAUAAUAUUUAGGCAAUCACCGGAUCUUCAAUUAUCGAAUCAAUCUUCGAUCAAUCAAAGGACUCCGUUUAUGUCUUCUCCAGCCAUGAGAUCUUCUCCAGUUGAUAAGGUUAAAUCCUCAACGAAACAUCCAGUUCUGGAUAACCUUUCUUCAACGGAUUAGAGACUGUCAAUGAGGAUAGACUUUGAGUCUUGAGUCUGGCUGUCCCAAGGUCUUCAGACUUUAAAUAGCAGAGUCUGCAAGCCUUCAGACUAGACUGAUAGAAACGAUUUGUCAACUUCAAAACACUUCAAGAAGAUUUCUCCAACACAAUCCUUGUAGCAACCUCUGCAACUUGUGCAGUUGCUCGUCUUCUCACCUAAGAAACACAUAACAAAUGUAAAUUUUAGCCCAUAAAAAGGCCAAACACAGUGAUGUACAACUUACAGGAUAUUUUUUUCUUGUUUGCUCAACGGUGGACUCAGUUGUUAUUGUUGCUGUCUUACCAAUUCUAGUCCUUAUCCCUGCACUUGAGCCUACAACAUGGCCUUUUUCUGGCCCUUUAGUAGGCCUUACAACAAUGUGCUGUAUUAGGAUUAUGACCAACUACAACGAAUAAUUACACAUCUCAUUUUCAUAGUGGAAACACAUGGAGAAAACUUCUCAAAUUACAAGUGCAUGACAGAGGAAAAGCACAAGAGAAGCUAGUACACAUGGUCAACCAUCAAACUCUAUCGAAUAAGAACUGUAAAGUUACUGAGAUAAAGAGGAUACUUACCUUACAGUAUGGCUUUCUGUUGCCCUUUAGUAGACAUUACAGCAGGGCCUUCUGUUCUCCCUUCAAUAAGCCCAACAAGAAACUCUUUGUAAGUCAUGUCCCUGGCAUUGAAUCAACCAUUACAUCUUGCUAUUGAUACUGCUUUUUCAGCUCACAACCUUUCUUAUCGUGCCCUUCCUUGCGGCAAUAGGAGCAUUUCAUAUUUGAUCUAGUCCUACUCAUCCUUUGACUUGAUGCCUCUUCCUAUUGCAUUCUUCGUCUCUUUUUUGGCCUUCAUAUUUGCUUCUUCAGCGGUAAAGGUAGAGGGCUUUAAUGAUUUGUUGGCUCCCAAAAUUUGCUGCUUCUGAUAGGCUACAUCAUGAAUUGGUAUGAAGCAAGGUAUGAGCUUUUUUUGUACCAAUCAUCUAGGUAAUCAUCUAGGUUUUCUUGCUUCAUCUGAAUAGCACAAAUGGCAUGAGCACAGGGAAUUCCAUUCAGUUGCCAAGCUCGGCAUGAACACUUUCUUCUAUCCAAGUUGACAACAUACUUAUCAUGAUUUGGAAUAAUCUCAUACCCAUUAUCUUCAUUCCAAACUGGAUGGCAGAACCUACUAACAGCAAUAUUUGCAUCUAAUCUCUUCACAAUCCUAGGGCCACAGUCUCUACUCCAUUUUGUAGCAUCAUCUCUUUGCCUAUGCAGUCUAGUCAUAACCAUAACUCGAAUAUCAUCAAGCAUGCUGAUGAUUGGUUUGCACCUAGCCUCUAAAAUUCUACCAUUGAAAGCUUCAUUGAGGUUGUUAUCAAUGUUAUCGCAUUUGAACUCUUCGCUGAAGAAGACCCGACACCAGUGCUUAGCUUCUGUCUGGAAGAGUGUAUCAAAACCUUCAUUUGUCAGCUGUAACAAUCCUUGUUUCGCUAAUUUGAAAUCAACCAUAUUCGUACUCUUUGCUAUCUGCCAGAACUGCUUCUACAACAUAUCUCCUUUGAAGUUCCUUGACCAGUUUGCAUAUAUGUGCCUCGUGCACAUUCUAUGCUCAGCAUGUGGCAUCAACUCAGCCAAUGCAGGAAUAAGUCCAUACAAAAAUUCAAACCAAUAAAUACAAGUCAAGAAAAAUAUGCAAGUGAUUAAUAUAUAAAUGAGUGAUUAUUGACAUGAAAUUACCUUCUAUUGGUUGCUCAUGAAUGCCCAUCCUCCCCCAUCGGUUAUCACAAGGUCAGUCAUCAAAUUUUUUAGGAACCAUGACCAAAUAUCCUUGUUCUCUAUCUUUACCACCGCCCAAGUUAUCGGGAACAUUUAAUUAUUGGCAUCUCUCCCCACAGCAACCAACAACUCCCCCUUGCAUAAACCCUUUAGAAAGCAUCCAUCCAAUCCUAUAACUCUUCUACAACCAACCAAGAAGCCCCGUUUGCAUGCAUCAAAACAGACAUAAAAUCUAUCAAAUUUAGGCCAAAGAUCAGGGAGUGGCCUCUUCACAACCUCUACAUAUACCCUACUGGAUGGGUUUUGAAACAUGUAUUCACCAGCAUAAUUCCAUACCUGUGCAUAUUCUUCUUUAUACCCACCCAUCAAUAUUUUCAUCACCCUUAUCUUAGCUCUCUUACAUUGAUUCCUCGACACAUUAACCUCCACUUGCUCCUUCACUAAUUGUUGAAAUUGAGAACUCUUGAUCUCGGGCAUUGCUUUGAUAGUAUUAAAAAAAUUCUUUGAUAACCACACACUUGUUACCCUUUUAUUAUUAAAGAUAAUUGGACAAGUAUGCUCCUCCUGAAAGGACCUAAGCUAGAAUGACCUAUUCUUACUAAGCGCAGCAUAGAGCUUCCAUGAACAAUUAGGUUGUGAGCACUUAGCUCUCACAAAUUCCUUCGUGUUUCUAAUAAAUUUAACGCUCCUCUGUUCACCAAUUGAGUUCUUCACAACAGCUUCCUUGAACUGUUUGGCAUUGUCAAAUCUCAUGCCCACCGACAAAACAGGUUUAUCAACAGUUGAAUCAUAGAAAGGAUACUUACUUUUUCUUCGAGGAGCAGGUUCUUCAUCAUCAUUGUCAAGCUCAUUUUCCGAACUAGUAACUUCAUCGCCACAGCUUUCUUCAUCUUCACUUCUAUUACCCUCAGCUUGAUCUCCAUCCCUAUUUACUGGCUCGGACCUUUUUGCUAAAGCUACAAGUUUUUUUUUCUCAGAAAUUCCCUUUGCUUUUGUCUUGACUGUACGAGUUCAUCAUCAUCUUCGUCACUUGGAAAAUUUACUAAAGCCAAACAUUCAUCUUCCGAUUCAUUAGAUAAAGCAAUUUCCCAUUCUAAUCCAAUGAAGUCUUCAUCGCCCACAUCUUCACCCAAAUCUUCACCCAAAAUUUCAGGACAUCUCCCUCUUUGUUCAUCUCUAUCAAUAUGACUUAUCUCCCUCUCAUUUUGCCCUUCAUCUAACCUAAACUUAUCCCCGACUUGAUUACUCGUUUGAACAAGAUCCCUCACUUCUCCUCCUUCAGUGGUCGUCUGCUCAUCCACAUCCUCAUCCUCAUCCUCACUAUAAUACUCAACAUAUACCUUAACUUCUUCAUUGUGAAGAUAAUGGUAAAUGAUAUCCUUAAUACCAUUAUCGUUGUUAAAAAAUCUUAACCCAUCCUUCAAUUCCUUCCCAGGAACACAGUAAUGUAGUUUUUGCACUUUGCAUCGUAAAAAAUACACCAAAUCUCUCAGAAAAUCAAUAUAUGAUGGCUUCCAAACAUUGACAUAAAUAGUACCUUAAUUUCCACUAUUUUAUUAUCAAUCUUCAGUGCCAAUAACAAACUCUCCACCAUAGUAAACAAUGACGCUUACCUGAUUCGUGUCCAUGUCGAUGCUGCACCCAAUGAAAAAAAAAAGAGUCAUUGUCGUUUUGUUGGAACCACAUGACAGAAUCGACAACUUCACAUGUAGGUCCUUAUCGUUUUGUUGUCAAGGAACAAAUGCGACUAAAAUCUCCCCAAUUCGGUGGAUUUACAGAAAUAAAAGAAACCGAAUUAAAUAAACAAAGUGAGGUCCCCACCACUCAUUUUUCAAUUCAAUCACAUUCACAUUCGGUCCCCCACAAAAGCAGUCCAAUUAAUUAAAUAAAAAAAUUCGGUCCACCACUGUUUCCCUCCGAGUCAAGCCUCUCCGCACCAUUUUUUCUGUUCGGUCCUCACAAUAGAAAACGAACAAACGAUGGAAGAAUCAAUUUUUCUAUUCCGUCCCCAUAAAAGUGACAUCCCCACCACUUUCCCCACUACUUUCCGCUUGAGCCAAGCCCUCAAUUUGCCCUCCGUGCCCUAAUUUGCCCGUCGGAACCCUAAUUUUUUCGCAAAAUUGAUCCACGUAGAGAACAUGACAAACUUGAACGAUCGUGAACAAUGGCGCAACUACAACGGUGGCCAAGCGAUAGUGGGCGAGCGACAGCAGGCGAGCGAACGACGGUGGGUGAACGACAGUGGGUGAGCGAGCUCCGGCCAGCGUCGAGGAGAAUAAUAUACGAACCCUAUUUUACUCCCUCUUCAGCAACAUCGUUUUUUGCUAUGGAGCAACGCGGCGUCGUUUCUUAUGUGAAUCCACGGUGGAUGGCAAGAAACAACGUUGUUUCUUACAAAGAAAGGAAAACGGCGUCGUUUUAUGCUAUCCACCGUGGACAAUCUUAAGCCACAUCGUUUUUUUUUUAAAUAUAAAAGCCACGUAUUUAUUUUGGCCGAAAUUUCUCGCCAGUGGCACCAAAGUGAUCGUUUUUUCUCCGAUUUGGCACUUAAGUGAUUUGACGGAAACUUUUGACACCAAAGUGAGCGCCGUACACAACUUAUGGCACCAUUAGUGUACUUUUCCCCAAGGUUAAGGCUUGCCACACUGAAUGUAACUUCGCUUUGGGACCCAACCAACGCUAGAACGCCACCCGUCUUCAAAAGAGACAUGUAAGGAUCAAAUAGGUGAUCAGCAGAUGCCGUGUCGAUUAUAAAGUCCAGGGACUUAGCCAUGGCCUGCAUGUAUUGGAAUCAUCAGAUCACGGUAGCACUUGACCUUAAUGGAUCUAAAGUAUUGAUAAUUUUAAAUCUUCCCGCCUGCCUUCGUCUAUUCUUGGUCAGAUGAGAUAACGAAGUGGUCAGCACCAAGCAAGCUCAGUGCUUCCUCCUUUUUAGAAAUGCUUGUACUAAACAUAGCGAAUUUCAGUCCAUAAGCCUUCCCAAGCUUAAUUGCCAUGUGACUGAGCCCACCGAGUCCAAUUACACCAAGAGACUUACCCGGUUGGUUCAUCUUGUGACGCACCAUUUGAGUGUAUAUUGUGAUUCCAGCACAAGGCAAUGGUGCUGCUAAAGCCAACGGGAAGUUUUCUGGAAUCCUGAAGCAGUACCUGUUAAUGAAGCACCACAAUUAAGUUUCCAAAUCACACCAAAGGAGGAAGGGAUUUCCCAAUAGAAUCAGCAUCCCAUCUUUUUUGUACAACGGGAUUCAAAUCACAUUUUACUUGCUUAGAGCACAAUUCAACAUCAUGUGGUUUCUGUGAUUCUUUUUCUGACCACAAAUUGCUUAAGACGAAAACUUCUUGCUGUAGCGACGAAAGUAAAGCCACUGCAGCAUACAGGAGGCCAUACUUGAUCAAAAUUGAGAAAAGAGGCUUGCUCUAACAGAGUACACUGGAAGCAUAUUGCAUAUGCAUGGCAGAUCAUGUAAUUUCUCUAUUCCCCUCAAUCAUGUCUCUAAGGGACACGAUAUUCCCGUGACUGUCGAAUACAAGAAUCCGUGAAAGCACGUACAUUUUAUUACCCAUUUGAUCUAACACUUACCAUCUAACUCUUGGAAACAAUCUAAAAAAAGGGAGGAAGAGGAGAUAGAAGGCAAGAAUUGAGCAAUUUCCAUCUGUUUCUCUCUUUUAAUUAAGAGUUAAUAUCCUAAAAAACUCCAAAUUGGUACACAUGUGACAAAUUUACCCCGAUGGACUAUUAAAAACCCUAAAAUUAUAUAUUUAUGACAAAUUUACCCCAAACUAAUUUAUUCGACCACAAAAAAAAUGGUAAAUUUGUGACAAAUAUAUCCUCCACUAAAUUGAAUUAAUACCAUAGUAAACCGUGACAAACGGAGCGUAAAAUCUCAAAUUGAUAUACUAGUCAACUGUCACAUGUCAUUUAACUUAAUAAUUUGACAGUAAAAUUUAAUGAAAACUAAUAGAAGGUAAAUUUGUCACAAGUGUACCAGUUUAGAGUAAAUUUGUCAAAUAUAUAACAAUUUAGAGUUUUUUGUGGUAAAAAAAAAUAGUUUGGAGUAAAUUUGUCACAGGUAUAUCAGUUUGGGGUUUUUUAGGGUAUUAACCCUAUAAUUAAUUUAGUUUUAAAUUUAAUCUUAUUAAUUUUUCAUGAAAAAUUCAUAUGUUAAAUUUAUUGGCUCACAUGUCAUUGUCACUUGAUGUGUAUGAUAUAUAGAAUAGUCCAAGAAAUUUGACUUUAGAUACAUGGGAACCCGCGAAUGGUCAUACAUUGUCGAUUACACAUUCAACAUGAUGUAUUAGCUAAUCAUAGUCCUCUAACGGUUUAUAUUUGCUUAAUAUAUUUCAAGAAUAUUAAUUUGUUAGACUUGUCCGCUCACACGCCGCUGUCACUCGAUGUGUAUGAUAAGCAGAAUAGUCGAAGAGCUUUGACUUUAGAUACUUGGGAGUGUCUAUGCUUGUUUUAUGUCUAUUAUGCUUGCAAUGCUUCUUGUUUUGAGUGGACAGUACAAAUAUUUAAGUCCGUGUCAAUUUGAACAAUUUUCUUUAUUAUAGAGCAACAGUCUUUAAUCUAUUGUGUUCUUGACCACAAAAAACCAAAUAACAAAUAAGUAUAAAUUAUUGUAGGGUCCAACGACAAUCUUUAAUCUAUUGUGUUCUUGACCACAAAAAAUCAAAUAAUAAAUAAGUAUACAUUAUUAUAGGACCCACUCCUUUAAAAAUUUGUUGUUCACAAAAACUUAUUUAUUCUCAUAAUAACCCAAAGUUAUGCUAGCAAAAAUGCAAUUUAAUCCUAAAAUUUGUCACGAAAUGCAAUUGAGUCCUAAAAUUUUCAAAAAGUACAAUUAAUUAUAAAGAUUUAUCAAAAUUGGUCCAAUUUAAGUCAUUCCAUUCAUUGCAAUUUUUGAAAGUUUUAGAGCUCAAUUAUGCUUUCCUAACAAGUUUUAUGACUUAAUUAUAAUUUUUGAAAAUUUUAGAACUUAAUUGUAAUUUAUGAUAAGUUUUAGGAUUUCUAGUACACUUAUCUUUUUUUUUUGUUUUUCACCUCAUUAAUCUUUUUUGCAACAAUGAGCUUGACAUAUCUCUGUUUUGAGGAUUUCAGUGGCUAGGGGAAACACAGGGAUGUCCUCUAAUGAAUCAACAAUCUUCCUGCCAUGACAAUGCCGGAAGAGAGAUGAGUGUCUUACAUAGUUAACAAAAAUGUUCAUGUUAUAAUUGGUAAGCAUUCGCUUUCCCAACGUGCAUGAACAUUUCCGGCGAUGAAACAUUCGUGAGGAGCCAGUAAAGACAUCCUGUUAUUUAAACCGGCAAGAGGAUAUCGAGCUUGCUCUAUUGGCAAGUAUAUUGUUGUCAGAUAAGCCUAAUAAAUCCGAUAUUUUCAUACAAAAAAUCGUCAUCGAGGCCAACUUAAUCCAAAAUGCCAAUGGACAGGCUUGGGUAAGCUAGUGGAUAGGUAUGCCGCUUUAUCUUAUGUCGUGUUAUCUCACGAGAGAUGGUGCUGCGUUCUCUUUAGAAUGCACAUGACUUGGGAUAGGAAAACCUUAGGAUCCGACUAGGAGGAAGGAAAAAAGCAAUCUAUUGUCGGGCCAAUAUAAGAUCAUUUCAUGUCAAACUCCGCAGUCUUGAGGCCAUGGAAUCUACGACAUACUUGCUCAUUCACAAGGACUGAGCAAAUAAAUGAUAAAAUAAGAGCAAUGGUCGUCAUUGAUCGUCUGCCCUUUAACUGAUUGGAUUCUAAAUAUUUUAUUUUCAAUUGGGGUCUAAAUAUUUUAUUUGAUUCAAUUGACUUCUAAAGAUUUCCAAUUUUAGUCAAUCAAGUCCCUCAAAUAUUAUCCUCGGAAAGAGCCACAUGGCUGUGAUUUUCCUAGUGGCUAAGGAGAUGCUUGAGGAGAAAACCUGUAGGAGAGGCGAAGCCAUCCAAGCAGAACUCUCAAGAAGUCAAUUUUUCAGACAGUUUCUCAAUCAUCACAUAGAGAAGUACCAGGAUUUCAUUACCCAUUUCACUUGUUUCUGCUAUAAAACUCACGAGUAUCGAAGUAUAUCAGGCAUAGUUUAUUUGUACUCCAGCAGAGCAAUUAAGAAGGCAUAGAUGAUGCUCUCCUCUAGCUGAAAGCCCGAAACUCCCACUUUUCCUCUGUGUGAUCAGCCUUGCCAGCAACAAUUUCCAACUACCCAAAUUGAUGUUGAAAUUUAAUCAAAUAGACUCAGAGAAGAAAACAAACAAGAGAAUUGUUGCUGUAACUUUCGUUACUUUAUUCAUCAGAACAUAAGCCUAUUAAAUAGGCAGAACAUCCAAACCACUUAGCAAGACAAUAGCUAUAGAACAACAACAAAGACCCACUAACAUACCCCACUAACCAGAACAUAUGCAGAAACUAACUCCUAAAAACAAGCCACAUCCUAUUGACUAGGACUCCACUAUUACAUUAUUGAAGACACGUAAAAACUGAAAGUUAACUACUUCAACAAUUGAUGGUGUCACUUCAAGGAGUUCUCAAUGUCAAUCACGAAUCGAUACUUAACAUCUCUCUUGAUGAGCCUCUCCAGAGCUUCGUUGGCGUAAUCGAUCGGUAUCACUUCAAUGUUUGGGUAUAUCUUCUGCACCGCACACAAGUCUAUCAUUUCUUGGGUAUUCUUUGUUCCUCCCGUUACGCUACCCGUAACAGUUCUCAUAUCUGCCAAAAGUUCACCGCGAGCAACUUAAUUCACCUAUCAGGUAUGAAAUUUCAUUUAGUAAUCAGAUUUGAGAACAAAAACAUACUGAGGUUAAGGCUGGCUGGACUGAAUUUAACUUCGCUCGGGACGCCGACCAAUGCUAGAAUGCCACCCGUCUUCAAAAGAGACAUGUAAGGAUCAAAUGGGUGAUCACCGGCUGCCGUGUCGAUUAUAAAGUCCAGGGACUUAGCAAUGGCCUGCGUGCAUUGGAUUUAUCAGAUCACAACAGAAUUUGACCACCAUGGAUCUCAAUGUGGAUAAUUCUAGUUUUUCCUCUUUUUACCUUCAUCUGCUCCAGGUCAGAUGAGAUAAUGAAAUGGUCAGCCCCAAGCAGGCUCAGUGCUUCCUCCUUUUUAGAAAUGCUUGUACUUAACACUGUGACUUUCAGUCCAAAAGCCUUCCCAAACUUAACUGCCAUAUGACCGAGCCCACCAAGUCCAAUUACACCUAGAGACUUACCAGGUUGGUUCAUCUUGUGACGUAUCAUUGGAGUGUACACCGUGAUUCCAGCACAGAGCAAUGGCGCUGCUAGAUCCAUCGGGUAGUUUUCUGGAAUCCUGAAGCAAUACCUGUCAAUGAAGCACCACAAUUAAGUUUCCAAAUAACACCAAGACAGGAAGUGAUUUCCCAAUAGAAUCAGCAUCCUGUCUUUGUUGUCUAAAAGGAAUCAAAUCACAGAGCCAGAAAUCCUAUCUUCCACAUGCUUGGGAAUUUUACUUGCUUAGACCACAAUUCAGCAUCAUGUUGUUUCUGUGAUCCUUGUUCUGACCACAAAUUGCUCUAGACAAACAUUUCUUGCUGUAGCAACGUAAAUAAAGCAAUUGCAGCAUACUGGAGACCACACUCGAUUAAAAUUAAGAAAAGACACUUGCUCUAAGAAAGGAAACUAGUGGCAUAUCAUGUAUGCUUGACUGAACACGUAAUUUUGUAUUUCCUUCAAUCAAUUUCUCCAAAGGACUCAAGAUUCCUGCGGCUCUAUCAGAAACAAGAAUUAGUGAAAGCGCAUACAUUUAGCUACUCAUUUGAUCUGAUACUUAUGAUCUAACUCUAACAAUCUAAGGACAGCUUAUUCCAUUCUUGACAAUGGUUAUUCAAAAGAAAGAAUUUCUUUUCGCAUUUAAUAAAGCCAGUUCUCCAUUGAAUGGUUUGAAUGGUAAUUGGAUACAGAGGACUUAAAGACUCUCCAGAGUCGUUAUAGAAAGUAUCUUUAUCCCUUUCCACAAGAUGCAAUUAAUGCCUAAAAGCCAUUCCUCACAGUCCUAUGCAUUAUGCCACUUCUGGUCACAAUCAGAAUAAGAAGAAAAUUAGCAGAGAAGAAGACAUGACAUGAAAUCUUUUUUUGGCCACCAUGAUUUGGAAUUCUGUCACAGUGCAAAAUGCUGCCUAAUAACACUGUGUCAGUAAGCAAUUACCUUUCAUGGACGACAAUGUGACUAGAAUAUCCUCCCUUUGUCACUGUACCAUCUGCAUCAAUUCCAUCAAAAGUCAUAACCGACUUUUCACAUUGGACUUCUAGCCUGUCAUUGCAAUACUCGCACUCUCUGCAUGAAUUGACAUAAGUUCCCACCCCCACAUGAUCGCCAACUUUGAAGCGUUGGACACUGGAGCCAACCUGUUUCACAAUUCCAACUAUCUCGUGCCUGAAUCAAUCAAAAAAAAUUUUCGCAAAUUUUGUUCAGAGAAUUAUGAGGAUGGUGCUAAGAAAAAAGAUUUAACAUUUGAAUCCCGCUGCAUCCUACCCCGGCACCAGAGGAUACUUGGAGUGUCCCUGCACAUUCCUAGUCCAAGCCACAUCUGCGUAGCACACUCCACAGUGCGUGAUCUUAAUCGAGACGUCUUCGCUUCCCACGGCCCUAAAGAGAUGAUUCCCAAACAGGUGAGCAUAUAAUCCAGUGACUAAUCAGACUAGGGUGCCCUUUUUUUCCAUUUUCAAGAUCAACAAACUAAACUUGACCUACGAUUAUUGAGGAAACAAGAAACCAGAAAUGAGAAAAGGAAAAAUUCCAUGACUACAAGCAUAUUUGUCCAUACGGUAGAUACAACCUCAAAUGCUCAGAAAGGCAGCCAGUACAGGAUCCUCAUGUCUGCAGCCAGUACAGGAUCCUCAUGUCUGCCAUGAAAUUCUGAGUAACCCAUAACCAACAAUUCUCGACUCAGAAUUCAGCGCAUACACAACAAAAGAAAGAACGAAAAAAAAUGAAAUGGUCUGGACCGAAACUGUCUCUCGUGAACACUGUACUGAGACUCUCGCAUGAACACUUCGGUAGAAAUCGAAAAAGAAAAAAAAAAAAAAUGGCAAUACCUGCGGGUGAAUUUGUAGGGGGAGAGGAACCCAGAAGGGUCCCGGGCAGCCCAACCGAGGCAAUCCUCCUUCCCACCCUCCGAGCUCAUCUUCUGCACCUACACACCCGGCGAAGCAAUCACACAAACAGGUACGGUUAGAUUCAUCCAAAGAAGAAGAAGAAAGGGUGAGAACGCGAACGAGAGAGUGCCCAAGAUCAGAGACUCGACGGGUCAUCACACGGCGACGACUCGAGUCACAACGAGCUCGCCAUCACUCAUCAACUCACUCACUCACCCACCCCCACCUACCCAAGCACAACCCCACAGCAACUCAGAGAGAGAGAGAGAUGACUACGGAGAUGGAGAGAGGUUACGCGGUGGUGGAGUAUGCGGUAGCGCGAAGAGGGUGAUGAGCCGAGCAGAGUCGAGGACGGGAGGUUCAACGAAGACUUUUGCCCCCUCCUACUUUGCAGGAAAGCUACGAGUCGUCGUAUGGAUUUUAUGGCGGUGGCCCCUAGGCUCUAAAAGAAGGUUCGAGGAGCCUACUGCCUAGCCUUCUUUUGCUGUUGGUUUCAAUAUCUGCUGCUUUUCCGCCUUAGCCCAACCGACAUCGCCCUCAAAAGACAUCAAAGAUAAGGUAGUUGGAAGGAAACAUCAUCCGAAACUUAAAGAUGGGGUAGUUGGAAGGAAACAGUAUACGAAACUUUGGUUCAAUAGGUAACGUGAUUUUCUAAAUUUUUAAUUUACCCAAUAUGAUUUUUUAAAAUUUUGGUAUAGAUUCAACUUAGUCUUUAGAGUAUAUAUUGUCGCAAAUUUUAAAUUAAUAAAAUGACGACGUUGAAUAUUUUCAUAUGAUCAAAUGACAACAUUAAAUAUGUACUAAAAUUUUGAAUAAUAUUGAAUAUUUUCAUAUAAUUUUGAGAUUAUAUAGAAUAUGUAUCAAAGAUCAUUAACUAUAUAGUUCCGUUCAAUUUGCGGAAAAUAAUUUCCGAAAAACCGUUUUUCAGAUUUUUCGACAUUCAUUUCAUGAAAAAUGAAUUCAUUGGGAAAAAUGUUUCUUCUAAAUUAAGGGAAAAUGUUUUCCACUUUUAAAAAGUGAAAAACAUUUUCUUCACUCGAUCUCUCUUAUCUUACACCUCUAAAAAUCUCUACUUUAUCCUCACAUUUCUUUUUCUUCUUUUCUUUUUUUAAUUCAAAUUAUUUUUAAUUUCCUUUUUAUUUUAUUUUUAAUUUUUCUUUAUUUUUCUUUUUCUUUUCUUUGUUUCCCAUCUUUUCUUUCUUGGCUAGUUGUCAGUCAUUACCAAGCGAAUCUCGAGUUCGUCAAUCUUAAGCUCACACUCUGUACUCUUACUUAUCAUUUUCUUUAUUUACUCUAUCCUGCAGUUGUAUAUUGCUCAAACAAAUGGCUCUACAUGCUUUGCUUCUUUUUUCUUUUGUUUAUUAGAACACAAAAGACGCAUGAGAGAACAGGCCACUCAACUGGAAGAUUCUCAUUAGGGCUGUACAUGCUUUGCUUCUUUUCUCUUUUACUUCUUUUUAAAAUCCAUACAGACAUUUUUUAGAGUAGAUGAGCGUUUGACAACAAUGAGGGAACAAAGAUAUGCUCGAAUUUAAAUGCAAGUUCAUAUUUGAUGGGUUUAUAGGUCGGUAAGUGAUGCAUGCCUAAGUGGUGAAGUCUUAGAAAAUAUUUUCCUUACCAAACACCGAAAAAUAAUUUUCGAAACAUUUUCAAGUUUUAGCUUAACACUAGAAAAUAUUGUAAUUUUCCUAGAAAAUGAUUUUUGGAAAAAUAUUUUCCGGAAAUGACCAAUUUUUCACGAAACGAACGGACCCUUAGUCUCGGGAGUUUCUAUGUUACAUAUGAUCUAGUCCUUCAACUUUUCUAUUUGUAUACACUCAAAUCUUUUGUCAUAUUCAGUUUUUAUGCAGUUAAGUUUUAUUUUGUUCAUUCAAAUCAUUCAAUGUUCUCGACUAGUGCAAUUGAGUGCUUCACUCACCCAUCAUAACACACAAUUCCAUUUUUCUUUUUCCAAGUUUGCUUUUCGCUCAUUUGGCACCACCUCAACAUUGUGCGAUAUUUUCUACCUCAAUGAUAAUACUAUGUUAUUGAUUACUAUGACACAUUCAGCAAGAGGAUUUACUGAACGAUUUAAUUGCACGAAUCAAGAAAGUUAGAAGACUUGAUUGAACAAAAUAUAAAGUUAAGAGGAUCAAAUUGUGCCGAUAUGGAAAUUUGGAUGACUAAAAUUGCAUCAAACCCUUUUAUAGGGAGAUGGGUCAGCCACAAUAACAUAUUCUUUUUCAGUGACUGGCUUUGACACAACCAAUGCAACAUUAGUACGAAAAUGAAAGAUGAGUGGACAAAAGAAGGGCAACAGAUGUUAAACGAAACCUGUUUCCCAAAAGCACCAUGCAGAAACUUCCUUUCAUUGGAAAAUUUUUCUUGAAACGGAACUAAAGAUUACUGGCUUCGACAUAACCGAUGAACAUACCAAGAGCUGAGGCCUUAUCCAACAACAACGUGAAAAUGAAAAAUGAGUUGAAAAGAAUGGACAGCAGCUGUCAAAUUAAACAUUUUUUCCAUGUCUCGUUCAGAACUUGUCACUCCUUCAUUACAAUCUUGACCCUUUUGAAAUUGGAAGUGAAGGUUACUGGCUUCGACAUGACCAAUGUAUAACUUGUCGCUCAUGCAAUAUGGUAUAUAGAAAUGAAAGAUGAGUAGAAAAAGAAAUGGACGAUUGCUGUCAAAUUAAAACCUUUCCCAAGUCAACUUGUCGCUCCCCUUCCUUCCAUUAAAAUGCUUUUAUGGUGGAACUGAAGAUUACUGGCUUUGACACAACCAAUGUAAACCCUCCAAGAGGUGAGAGAACUUAUGCAAAAGUAUAAAAAUGAAAGACGAGUCAAAAAGAUGAGGACAAUAACCAAAUGCGUGCAACUCAAUUGCACUUUUUGAUAAGGAUAAACUGCACCUCUCCUCAUCAUUGAAAGAGAUAGGAUUAAACGCAGACGUGAUUGACAUAGAGAUUCUUACUAGAAAUUAAAUAAAAAUAAGUCUUUCUUGGUAACAGGAUGUUUGUUCUCGUGACCGUGUAGGUCUUUCUAGGUUCUCUGACGCGUGCCAUGAGGUCAUGGCAUGUUAUGCAACCAGAGAUAUCCAUUCCAUAUUUCUAUGGUAUCUAUCCAUCGUUACCUCCCGUGAACCUAAGAAGAACAAAACCAAUCCAUAAAGCUGGAGGAUCAAGAACAACCCGCCCUAAGUUAUUGAUGAACUGAGUUAACUGUUUGAAGCCUAAGUAGCGAAUCAUUUAAAGUUUAAGCUACUAAAAUGUCAGAUGCCAAACAGAAGGAAAAUCUACAGAGCCAACAUCUGCAUCGGAUCAACGAUGGCAUAUCAACAACUAAGGGAAAAAUCUGCUACUAAAUAUUUAUCUGAAACUAUAAGCGAGGAUCACGUUGCACUUGCAUAAGUCUGUUAACGCAGGUCAAUGGUCAUGUUCUGGCCAGCUAUGUAAGAAGUUUGAAAACUCUACACGGACAGGCACCAUUUGCAAGAAGACCUGUUCCCUCAAAUGCUCAUCUUUGUACUGAGCUGGAAAUGCUUUUAGCAGAUGACUGUGCCUCCAGAAACAAAUCGCAUGAAGUGGCCCACAAUUCUCUGGCAAGUCCAGUGUCGUACGAAACUAAAGAAGAGUUGAUAGUCCGGCCCUUCCCACCAAAGAAUACACACCAGAAAUUUCCUAUAUUUGCAAGACAGCGGCUAUUAGUAAGCACUGUUCCAACAUAUAAUAGCAGCCGCAUAAGAUUGAUACCACAGAUUAUCAGCAGAGAAGGGAAAAUCAAUUCUGGAAACACUCUGUCAUACCGUAGAAUCAACAUUAAUGGAUUUUACGUCCAAUGCUAGUACGACCUCAAUUGAGGAUAAAACGAGAGAGACUCAUUCAAGAUGGUUCAGAUAAGUGAAGCACCAGUACAGGAAUGCUUUACACCAGCCCCAUUUAGUGGGAAAAAAUCACUAUCACCCAUAUCUGCAGCUGUGGUUGCCUAUUGAGAUGAAACACAAGUGAUUUCAUUGCAGUCCCAUCUAGCAGUCCCAUCUAGCAUAUAGCAGAAAUUAAAGAUAACGAUUGCAGUCAGAAAAACACAUAAGAGAAUUGUUGCUGUAACUCUCGUUACUUUAUUCAUCAGAACAUAAGCCUAUUAAAUAGGCAGAACAUCCAAACCACUUAGCAAGAAAAUAGCUAUAGAACAACAACAACAAAGACCCACUAACACACCCCACUGACCAGAACAUGUGGAGAAACUAACUCCUAAAAACAAGCCAUUUCCUAUUGACUAGGACUCCACUAUUACAUUAUUGAAGACAUGUAAAAACUGAAAGUUAACUACUUCAACAAUUGAUGGUGUCACUUCAAGGAGUUCUCAAUGUCGAUCACGAAUCGAUACUUAACAUCUCUCUUGAUGAGCCUCUCUAGAGCUUCGUUGGCAUAAUCGAUCGGUAUCACUUCGAUAUUUGGGUAUAUCUUCUGCGCUGCACAUAGGUCUAUCAUUUCUUGGGUAUCCUUUGUUCCUCCCGUUAGGCUACCUGAAACAGUUCUCAUAUCUGCCAAAAGUUCACCACGAGCAACUUAGUUCACCUAUCAGGUAUAAAAUUUCAUUUAGUAAUCAGAUUUAAAACAAAAACAUACUGAGGUUAAGGCUGGCUGGACUGAAUUUAACUUCGCUUGAGCCGACCAAUGCUAGAAUGCCACCCGUCUUCAAAACAGACAUGUAAGGAUCAAACGGGUGAUUGCCGGAUGCCGUGUCAAUUAUAAAGUCCAGGGACUUAGCAAUGGCCUGCGUGCAUUGGAUUUAUCAGAUCACAACAGAAUUUGACCACCAUGGAUCUCAAUGUGGAUAAUUCUAGUUUUUCCUCUUUUUACCUUCAUCUGCUCUACGUCAGAUGAGAUAACGAAAUGGUCAGCCCCAAGCAGGCUCAGUGCUUCCUCCUUUUUAGAAAUGCUUGUACUAAACACUGUGACUUUCAGUCCAAAAGCCUUCCCAAACUUAACUGCCAUAUGACCGAGCCCGCCAAGUCCAAUUACACCUAGAGACUUACCAGGUUGGUUCAUCUUGUGACGUAUCAUUGGAGUGUACACCGUGAGUCCAGCACAGAGCAAUGGCGCUGCUAGAUCCAUCGGGUAGUUUUCUGGAAUCCUGAAGCAAUAC
This 45708-nucleotide long non-coding RNA is filed under the name Eucalyptus grandis. Its description in RNAcentral is "long non-coding RNA (EGRA_LNC002640)". Lineage: Eukaryota; Viridiplantae; Streptophyta; Magnoliopsida; Myrtales; Myrtaceae. The record is from RNAcentral.